Molecule: long non-coding RNA, 80023 nt
Filed under: Ananas comosus (pineapple)
Lineage: Eukaryota; Viridiplantae; Streptophyta; Magnoliopsida; Poales; Bromeliaceae
Description: long non-coding RNA (ACOM_LNC002085)
Source: RNAcentral
AAGUAUUAACAUUCUUCGAGCUAUGGAUGGAGCGUUGGCGCGUGGACUUUGCGUGAAGGCUGUGGAUUCGGUGGGCGCUUCGUGGAUUCGAGACGUGUUUGCUGCGAGGGCUUGCAGCGUGAUCGGUUGAAGGAGUUCGAUCGAUCGAGGACCGGCGAAGGCGAUCUACAACGAGGAUUCGGUAAAUUGAGUCGUGUAUUUUCGGUAAAUCACUUGUACUCAAUUUUUCAUAGUGGAUUGUUUUGUGUGAUUGGUCCCGUAGGUUUUUCUCUCCGGAUUGGAGUUUUUUCACGUUAAAUCUCAGUGUUUGGUUUUAUUUUUCGCUAUUAGUUUUAUUUUGCAUCGAGAGAUUUGUUUUUGCCAUUUACACCUAUUCACUCCCCCUCUAGGUGUUAUUUAUCUUUUAGAUCUUUAGGAUUCAUAUCUUACAUGCUUGGUUCCUAGAUCUAUUUGAUUAUUUGCAUCGACUAUAAACUGCGUGAGCCUAAUUGAGCUCGACACAGUGUGCUCUUUUGCUCAACUAAGUAUCUUCCCUGAGUGCCACUCCGGAGUAAGGCCUUCUUGCAUUCUUGUCGCAGUAGUCCUUUUGGGCAUUCAACUUAGACCUUGUGGGUAGUGUACGGAGUAGCAUGGGCACAGGCUGGACUUGCCGGUUGGCGGUCGCUUUGGAUUGAGUCAAUUGUAAUUGUUUCAUAACUAGUAAUGCAUAUAUACACAAAGAACAUGAUAUGAGUAGUGGUAGUGUAAUGGCGUAUUAGCUAUAGAGUUUAUUCUAGCUUACCAUAUUGUUCUUUUACCUACCAACUAUACUGUUAAUUUUGUAGAUUUAGUCGGUAGGCUGUUGGGGCCAGUGACGAUAUACACUAAGGACUACUUUGUUUGUAAUAGUUUUCACACCUAUUGUUGUCAUUUUUUCUUAUAGAGCCUUCGGCUGCUGCUGUAACACACUGAACUUUAGCAAAUUGCGAUGUUCUAGUGUUAAAAUAGCGUUUUAAGCUAUUUCCGGUGUUUUUGUUGGUCGUUGACUGAGUACCGACCCAUUUCUCAUGUUGCAGGAAUGCGCGAAAGAGAACUUAGCAUCAAAACCUCCAAACUGCAGGUUUUGGGGUGCUGCGUACCGGUAGCAGAGAGAAGGGGUACCGGAACUCUCCUGUAUAAUUGAGAAAAGCUGCUCUCGGGUUUGAGCUGUUGGGUGGUCGGGUACCGGUACGGCAUCGGCUGAGUACCGGUACGCCGCACUGUUUCUGCUUGACCGAGGCUCGGGUUUGGCAGUUUUGUUGACUUGGUACCAGUACUCUUUCCCGCAUACCGGUACGCACUGCAAAAACUGCAGUUCGUGCAGUUUGCAAUUUCUGGUGUUUUAAGGGGCUUUUUGGGGUUUGUUACAAUAUGUUAUAUAACCCCUUCAUCUCCCUCACAGCACCCUUUGUGCUGAGCUUGGAGAAGGAGAAAGCUAGGGUUUUUCUCCCUUUUUCUCUCUAGAUUUCUCCCAAACUUCUUUUAAUUUGAGGUUUGAUCUCUUUGUCUUCUUCUUCUUUAUGGUGGCAAGCUUGUAGACCUUGGAGGAAGCUUGGAUGAGAAGAGGAGAGCUUCUUGGUGGAUUAAUCUUCAACCCUACCUCAAGAUAGCUUGAUUUGGAACUCUCUUGAAGGUUAGUACCCAUCUUGCAACCUCUAUUUGUGAUUUUUGCAAGAUCUGGAGAUGAAAACCUAGUUUUGAAAAAACUAGGGUUUGGUUUGCGAUUUCUUGAUUUGAGGCUUUUGGAACUUAAUUGAUGAGUGUAGAACUCUUCUUUAGGUUAGAUUUGAAGAUCCUUUGGAUUGAUAUAUUUGAGCUUUGGACAAGUGUAGCUUGAUCAAAGGUGAUUUUCUACCUCUUGUUGGGUUGGUUAAAGUUAAGCUUGUGGGGUGUUCGUUCAUUACCCCUAACCCUUUUAGAAAUUUUUUUAGGGUACUAGGAGCUUGGUGGACAACUUCGUUCGAAGGAAUGAAAUGGUUCGAAGAUCAUCCGGUGGGUUUGACCUCACCGAAAUGGGUAAACUCCCUCUAUGUCUUCCUUAUGGUUUUAAGACAUAUUUAGAUGCUUAUUCAUGCUCAUUAUGACAUGCUAGAAUUUAUGAAGACAUAAUAUGUACAUGUUAUGUAUAGUAAAAAUUUAUGCUCUAUGUAGUAGAGGCAUUGUUCGGAGCCGAAUUUCCUGAUCCUUGACCCGGUGAAAGAUCUUCCUCGGAGAACAUGUAGGGAUGAAAAACAGCUACGAAUAGUGACCCUCGAAGUUUGCGCCCUUCGACUCGAUCAAGCGAUUCGGCUGAUGAGGGAUCGAAUCAGCGGAGUUCGAAGACCUUUACUUUAGACUCGGUUCGGCUGGAAGAGCCGAAUGUACAGAAUGCACAAAGUUUUAGGUCGGCUGAUGAGCCAAAUAGAUGGAAUACACAGAAACUGGUCAACUGAAAGAGCCGAAUGCCUUUAUAUAUUAAAAUGAAGUUGGGAACUCAUACAAAACAGAGUGUGCCCGAAGAGCAUACAAACUCUGAAAAUCUAGAUUAUAACAGAGUGUGCCCGUGGGGCAUACAGACUCUAGGGAUCUAACUUAAAAACUACUCUUAGGAAAGCAAUAAAUUUGGGUAAAAAAGUUUACAUGUAGACUACUCCUAGAAAACGAUAAAUGUAGGAAAGGAAAGUAUUGAAAACGCGGCGGUCUUCUCGUUCAGGGGAGAGAAAGACCUUUAUUACAGGCUUCAGAAAGACCUUUAUUACAGGCUUCAAAGUUACUAUUAUAAUAUCUUAUCAGCCCACAUUAUUAGUUGGUUAUAGUAGUGAGGGAAGUGCUGUAGCCAUGAUCAUAGAAGUUACGCUCCACUUCUCAUGGAAGUUACGCCCCACUUCACAUGGAAGUUACGCUCCACUUCACAUAGAAGUUACGCCCCACUUCACAUGGAAGUUACGCCUCACUUCUCAACCGUUCCCGCCUAAACACUCUUGACCUUAAGGCGCCCUAUUACCGACUCCUGGUGUACCACGUGUCCUUAUUUCUUUAGCUCAUAUGUGGGUUACGUCGGCGUGUUAAUUUUAAAUUUGGCAUCAACAAUGCCCCCCCAAUAGUCUUUCGAAUAAACAUUCGGAUGACUAUUGGUGCCAAAUCGACUACUCAAUGGCACAGCUGAGACCUAAGCUUUAGUUUCGCUGGUUUUGGUUGGCUUAAAGAAAGCGACUCUUUAUCAUCCCAGCCGUAUAUACCUUAGCUUCAUCAGCCGAUUCUUUACUUUUACUCGAUUGGUUCGGCUCUUCUUGAACUGAAUGUUCUUCUAUCAAGAAUUUCUCCUUGAAGAAAGCGGCUCUUUACCAGCCGCAUAUACCUCGGCGUCAUCAGCCGAUUCUUCACUUUCACUCGAUUGGCUCGGCUCUUCUUGAACCGACUGUUCUUCUAUCAAGGAUUUCUCUUUGCCUUUUCUUUGCUUUUUAUAUCGGCUCCAUUGCAGUCGAUUGUCCUUACUUUUUUUUCGAAAUUGCUCAUAUUGGGCAACUCGAACACCUAGAUCAAAUAGGUUAGAAAAAUACUUAUCUUCAAAAUAGUCUUUUAUCUUAAAAUGCAGACCAUUUAACGUCAUUUUGGCGAACUCUAAUUCCGGCAUUCUCAUAAAGCACCGGGUAUUGGCUAUUUUGAAACGGUUCAAAUACUCUUUGACCGUUUCACCUGACUUUUGUUGGUAUAAAGCCAAGUCGGCAACCGAUAAUUGUGGCUUCGACCUAUAGAAUUGCUCAUGAAAUUUUCUUUCCAAUUCGUCCCAAUCUUGGACGGAAUUGGCUGAUAAACUUGUAUACCAAGUAAACGCCGUUUUAGUUAACGACGUGUUAAAUAAUCGAAGUUUCAAAAAUAAGUCAGCGGUCGCUUCUCUACAUUGGGCCGUGAACUGGGCUAUAUGCUCGACCGUAUUCUCGGUCUCAUCGCCCGAGAACUUAUCGAACUUCGGCAUUUUUCAGUUUGCCGGAUAUGGAUCCUCCACAUUGAUGUUCGCGGGAUAAGGUGAUUUAAACACAGGCAGCAUUGCCAGCCUUGCGCCAACUCCGAAAGUAUUUCGGAUGGCUUCUUCAAUCCGUGCGUAUAUUUCAUUAUUGUUCCCCUACAAAGGAACCUGUGCUUGUAUUACAUUCGGUCCUUGCGGUAGACCGAAAUUCGGUAUAAUAGGGUUAACUCCUUGCAUAUUCGGAGCCUGCCCCCCAGCCCUUACGCCUACAUUUUGGGGCUGGUAAGCUGGUAAAGGAGGUAAACACAAUGCCAUCUCCGACUGCGGGCCGGCGUUUAUAUUCGUCGGCCUAUAAGCAGCCUGGAAAGGUGCCAUUUGCGGUUGCGCCUGUGAAACCGCCGGCGUGAUGGGAUUUUGUUGCACCGGGCAUAUUUAGGGGUCCCUGUUGCCCCCCGUAAGGUUGCUCAUUUCGAGUAAAUAACUGUCUGAUUCGAACAAUAUUUUCAUUGUAGGCCGUUAUGCCGGCCAACACCGUGUCUAGUUGAGCGGUACUUUGAUGGAUAUUUUGAUCAACAGUUUGCAAGACUCGGGUCAUGUGGCCGAGUGCCUGAGUGUAAGGAAGUGAAUUCUUGAAAUCCGGGGAUUAGACUUCGUUUAGAAUUGACUAAUUGUCGAGUGAGUAGGUUUCGGAAAGUCUGAAGGCGAUUAAAAUGCAUAAGGUGCAUUGAGGAAGAGUCCGCGAGAGCAUCAGUGCAAAACCUGCACUGGAGCAAAAUUGCUCUCGGGGACCGGUCCCCGGCAGGGAGGGACCGGUCCCAUCGGCUGGUGUGGCCGGGAUCCUUGAUGCAACCGAUCCCUGGCAGGGAGGGACCGGUCCCCGAACGUCAACCCAGCGAGAAAGACCGAAAUUUGGCUAAGUCCUAAAAAUCCAACUCUCGGGAACCGGUCUCUCAGGCAAGGACCGGUCUCCCGGGGACCGGUCUUUCAGGCUAAGAUCGGUUCCCGAACGUGAGAUUUUUCUCUGCCCGAAUAGGAGGCUCUCGGGGACUGGUCUUCCCGACCUGGGACCGGUCCCUCACUGCGAAAUUGCCCAGUGAGGGCUGCUUUGUAGAGUGGAAAGUUGAGGGGUUUAAUUGCAAAAUGGCCUAUAUGAGAGAUGGGGAACCCUUUUCUCUCCCUCACUGCUCUCUUUUCCCCUCACACUCUCACCCUUUCUCCCUUUCUCUCUCUCUAGAAAGAAAAGAAGGAGAAGAAAAAGAAGAGGAAGAAGAAGAAGGAGAAGAAAAGAAAGAGGGGGGAGAAGACUAAGAAGAAGAAGAAGAUCAUCUUCUUCUUCCUCAAGCUAGGAGCUCUAACCCUACAAUAGUAUUUCUAGGGUUUAGGGUUCUUGUUGUUUGGAGAUGGUUUUAAUGAGACCUAAUGGAGUCAAAUAGAUGAUUCUAGCAUGAAUCUAAAGCUUGAAUCAUGGAUUUCUCCGUGGUUGCAACCUAGGGCUCCGAUUUGGGAUUUUUGGAAAUCUAGGGUUUAAUCUAUUUUAAUGGGUCAUAAACCUAAUUGCUAAGUCUUCGAACGCGUAGGCGAAGACGGUCCUUCGUUACGACGAGCGAGUGCGAAAAUAUCGCCGGAACAAGUGCUCGAGGGUUCGGAUUAGCCUGAAGAGUCGAGGCGACGACGAAGGAUCACGGCGUCGAGUUUACUAGCUACACGGUAGUACCAAAAAGGUGGGGGUGCUAUCCCGAAGCAGUUGAACUGCUCCCUAUGUCUAAGUCAUCAUGUUGAUCAAGUGCGGUUGAUCAAGUGCUUAUUGUAUUAUUGCAUUAUAGGGUGCUGAAUGUAAUUGUUACAUUUUAUUGCAUGCUAGAGUUAGCUUAGCUUCGUGGAUAUAGCGCCGAACCUAGUAUGCAUGAGUUGAAUAGGAGAUAGUCAACCCUAUAUGUGAUGAAUGUGUUAUGCGAAUGAGAACCUAGUAUGGAAUAACUAGUAUAUGAGAACAUUGAACCUUGACGAGUGGCAUCUAGUUAAUGUUAACCUUGACGAGUGGCAUCUAGUUAAUAUUAACCUAUGAUGAAUAGCUAUGAGAACCUUAGUGUGGUUGGUAACACUAGAGUGAUGAGUAUGGUAUUUGCUUGCAUAUAUGAUGAUACUAUCCUUAGUUGACAAGAUGUUCCCAGUUUGUGAGGGUUUGGAUCGAGCUUACAUAGCCUAUCUGCGCCUGUGGUGGUAGCUCCACACAGGUAGUGCACUCCGGAGGUUGUCACACGAGGGGGGGCCAAUGUAGUUGCCCUUGGACUAUUGUAGCUGUUCGCAGGCGGUCUCGGGGGUAGUUGAGUAGCUAGUCUCCUCCCCUAUGAGACUUACACACAUGAGAUUGUGAGCAAGCCUCGAGUUCGCAGAGGGAUUGGGUAACCUGAUGAGUUCCACGUUUUUGUGCAUAGUAGUAUAUUAGCUACAGGUUUCACUAUGAUGUGCAUGCAUGCAUUAUACAGAUUGAGGCAUAGUUAGAUGUUGCAUAUAUAUAUAUAUGUAUAUCUGCUUAAAUGUUGCCGAUGCUUUCAAUUACAAGUAUCUAUCUAUCUGUCUAUUGUCUCUCUAUGCUUGCUUAGACCUAGUGGGGAGAUCGGCGGAGUUGGCGGCCGAACCCACUGGGAACUAUAGAAGAUAGUUCUCACCCCACUCUCUAUAGGUCCGAGUUCGAGUGUCCCCGGCGAGCGCGACGAUCGUGGCAAGGGCAUAGCGCCCUAGGGGUAUCCAUAGCUAGCUUUACUUCCUUCUGCAUUAAUUCCACUCUAUGUUUUAUGUUUGAGAGUAGAUGAUGUAUAGGGUGAGGUUUUGAGAGUGAUUGUACAUAUGUUUUGGAAGAAUGUAAAGGUUGAAAUAAUUGUAUCAAAGUUAAUGAAUUCAAUAGUUAAGUAUAUCUCUCUUUUGAUCACUUGUAUGCUUUACUCGUGUUGCUUACUCUUGGUUGAUAUGCACUGUUUGCGCUUCGUUAUCGUUGUAUGAUCAUGUAUGUAAUCAAGUGUAUUUCCUGGGAACUUGUGUACAUGAUCUCGUCGUUUGAGCCUUGGUCGGGCAGGGGAGUUGCUGUCCGUUCGGCGGUUGGUUCGCCGCGCCCGAACCGGACCAAAUUGGUAGCGGUCUCGGGGCGGGGGCGUGACACUGAGUUAAACGCGGCUCUUGAUGAGCCGACUGUUCACUAGUCUCUCCUCCAACAGGUAGUACCACCUAAUUCUUAUUCGCAUUUUUGGCGCUACCAGCUUGGUCAUUCCCUGAAGGCCUGGGAAUGGCUCUAUUUAGGAGGUUCAUAGCAUUAUCGUCAGCCAUAGGACAAAGUCUAGAUUAGGAAUACCUGAGUGUGUCCCACUGGGCGUGCCAAAAAUUAUUGGGAGCCGAAUUCCCUGAUCCUUGACCCGGUCAAAGAUCUUCCUCGGAGAACGUGUAAGGAUGAAAAACGGCUACGAAUAGUGACCCUCGAAGUUUGCGCCCUUCGACUGGAUUAAGCGAUUUGGCUGAUGAGGGAUCAGAUCAGCCGAGUUCGAAGUCCUUCACUUUAGAUUCGGUUCGGCUGGAAGAGCCGAAUGUACAGAAUGCACAAGGUUUUGGGUCGGCUAAUAAGCCGAAUAGAUGGAAUACACAGAAACUGGUCGACUGAAAGAGCUGAAUGCCUUUAUAUAUUAAAAUAAAGUUGGGAACUCAUACAAAACAGAGUGUGCCCGAAGAGCAUACAGACUCUGAAAAUCUAGAUUACAACAGAGUGUGCCCAUGGGGCAUACAGACUCCAGGGAUCUAACUUAAAAACUACUCCUAUGAAAGCAAUAAAUGCGGGUAAAAAAGAUUACAUGUAGAUUACUCCUAGAAAACGAUAAAUGCAGGAAUGGAAAGUAUUGAAAAUGCGGUGGUCUUCUCGUUUAGGGGUGAGAAAUACCUUUAUUACAGACUUCAAAGUUACUAUUUAUAAUAUCUUAUCAGCCCACAUUAUUGGUUGGUUAUAGUAGUGGGGGAAGUGGUAUAGCCAUGAUUAUGGAAGUUACGCCCCACUUUUCAUGGAUGUUACGUCCCACUUCAUAUGGAAGUUACGCCCCACUUCACAUGGAAGUUACGCCCCACUUCUCAACCGUUCCCGCCUAAACCCUCUUGACCUUCAGGCGCCCUAUUGCCGACUACUGGUGUACCACGUGUCCUUAUUUCUUUAGCUCAUAUGUGGGUUAGGUCGGCGUGUUAAUUUUAAUUUUGGCAUCAACAGGCAUACAUGUGGAUUUGGGCACUACAUGACACUUCUUAAUGAUUUCUCUCUUAUGCAACUAUAGGAAGCAUGUUAGAGUAUGAAUGUUGGUAUAACUCCUUAAGGGUACCUAGAGAAUGGGUUAGAUAAGUGGUUAAAUUACAUGAGGACAAUAUUACACUUGUUAUAGACAAGGUGAAUGGAACUUAGCAUUUCUUGCAUGAUAAUAUUAUACUUGUUGUAGACAAGGUAGUUGUGACAUUGUAACUUGGUACAUUUAACCUAGUAGAACAACUAGUAUUGGCCAUUGUGAUAUUGCAUUCGAUUUAGGGAUCGAUAUUUAUAUUCCUUAUUUUAGACAUGAGGAAAUGAGAGUGUAAAGCCUUUGAGGUGAACCCUAAUAGAGAUAAUGGCAUGUAAUACUAGUGAAAUUUAGUUGCUUGCAUGAUAAUACUUCUACUCCAUGUAGUGGAGAUUUUAGCAGAAAGACAUAUGCAUAACAUGUAUUGUGGUACUUAUGGACAUUUCAUAAUUCUCUUGCAUAUGGCAUUAGUAAAUAUUUCUCUUGACAAUUAUUGGAACUGCAUGUCAUAAACCUGUUUGGAGUCUUGUAUAAAAUAGUGAACUAUCCUAGAUAGGAUAAUGACAUAUGAACUAUGCAUGCUUUAGGCAUUAUAUGUGUUGGUAGAGACAUACCACCCAAGUAGUUGUUAAACAAGACAUGACAUGAAUGAUUUAGAACCCGACCGUCGAGUCGAUGAGUGAGAAUUCCAUGUUUUAGACAUGAUGAUUGAGUAUCCCAAAUUGUGGACCCUAUACUAUGAUCACGCUUGCUUGCCCUUGUGCUCAUUCGCACAUACUUGUGAGGGUCGCUCCCUACAAGCCAGCACUCCGGAGUUUAGCCUUGCGACGAUAGAUCGCCCGUGUGGGAUUGGGCGCCAAAGUGGGAUGCCGUGGGCGGAGUCUCUUUUCUUGUAGGAAAAAUGAUGACUCCCACGGGGCCACUAAGGCACGGCACGAGCCGGGACGUUAUCACGUGUAUGUUCCUUGUAAAUUGGGUAUUGAGACUUAACUUGACAUUGUACAUCACCGUAAUGGAUGCAUACAUGGUAAAUGUUCAUACAUGUGGUUUGCUACCUUAUAUUACUACUUGAUGCAUUCAUAAUAGUUGGACAUUUUGUGGGACAUCAUGACAUUAACAGCUUUAGUGGUAGUACACCUAUACUUAUGUGGAUUAGUAUGCACGCAUGGCUAGGAUAACAAUGAAAAGCACAAUUUACUCUAUAUAGCAUCAUGGACAUUAUGAAUAUGCAUGUAAUUUGACAUUGGCAUACAAUUGAACAUGCAUGUAAACUGACAUUGGCAUAUAGUUGAAUAAAUGAAAUUUGACCAUCUUAUACUUGAUAGUUAAUCUUUUAGUAGAGGCAUGACUAUGGAAUGAACAUGUUUAAUUUACUUACCUUUCAUAUAUUGCUUAAUUAUCACCUUAUAGCAUGCCUCAGUUGACCUCGUGGUGUAUUUCGCCACCCUUGGCGGCUUAUUCACUGGGAACUAUUGUUUAAUAGUUCUCACCCCCAUUUGUUGUUGGUUUUUGUUUCAGAACCUUCUGCGGCGGGAGAGGUUAUAGGGAUCGUGGCAAGGGGUUAGCGACUUGCUAGAGCCCCUACGGAGCUAUUUAGAGGGACCCGACAUCAUCUUUCUUUUUGUAUCUUGUGGAAAGAUGCAUUAUAUAUUUGAUUUAGAGAUGUUGUUAGACUUUCGGAUUUAGUUGUAUACACUUUGUAUAUUUCGUGGAUCCCUAUGUGAUAGAACAUUAGUAAUUUUAUAUUACUCGUUCUGAUAGCCUUGUUAGGACUUGAUCUUGUUCAUCCUUGUAUUAGUAGACGCCUUGUGUGCAUUCUAGUUGUUUGGUGUACACGGCGGGUCUGUGCACGCGUCGGGCGGGCUUCCGCUGGACCGGUGUGUGACAGCUGCUGUUGCUUCUUAUCGAGAUAAGGGAAUCACGAACUUGAUCCCUACCUACCCCUGUCGACAUGCUAGAGGAGUACUCUUUUUGGAGCUAGCUUACUUUUGUUUAGUCAUAUACAUACAAUUGUUUUUUAUUUUUCACUGUCCGCUGUUGUGAGGUGAUGUUAUUGUACUUUUGGAUUAUGUUAUACACCUUCAAUUACAUGUAUGUACGUCAAGUGACUAUUUAUUUCUAUUUUAAUAGCUCUAUUACUCUCUAAUAGUGGUUCUUGUACUAUUUACAAGUGCUUCUAUCACUCUGUGUACAUAAGGUUUCUUGUGUAUUCGGCGUAUCUGUUGGCGAGCCAGUUAGAGCUGGAGCCCGGAGCGUCACAUGGAUAGAGGAAUCUCUAUACGUGUGGCGGGUUUGUGAACAUAUCGGGCAAGGUUUCAAAAAGAAAAAAAAAUUAUACAUUUUUCCGCAAACUUUAUUUUCAAAAAUGAUCACAGGGUAUAACAAUUUAGUUCGACUAUAUAAGGCAAUAGUGAUCAAAUAAUUAUAGUUAAUAGUUAAUAAGUAAUUAAUAAUAAUAAAAAUGACAAAUCACAUAUCAUAUUAUCGCUAGAUAAUAAUAAUAUUAAAUAAUAAUUUAAACUCAUAAGUAUACUUUUCAUUAGUUAUUAUUAACUAUUAACCAUAAGGGCCAAUUUGGUUUCUUGAAAAAUAGUAGAAAACUAUUUUCUAAAGAAAAAAGUUGUUGGGGAAAAGAAAUUUUUUAGUUUCUGUUGUUUGGUUCGAUGGAAAAGAAAAAUAGUUUUUUAUGUACGUGUGUAGUCACGCCCCGGAUUACUCGUUUCUCCGGGCACUUCAACAGACCCGCCGUAUAAAUAAGAAUUUUUUCUAUAUACGAAGCGAUAGCUGUACCUGUACCAGUAAUCAUACAAUACUACAAUCAGUAGUAUAGAGCUGCUAAAAAGAAUAAUAUAUAAAUAAAACUGGUUCACUAUACAUACAUAGCAUCCUGGUACAAAAACACUCGCUCCAGCGAGGAUCUAACAUCAGUAUGUACAAGAACCAAAAACUACCACUCCCUGUAGCUGGUAUAUCUCUAAGUCAGUAGCAAAACGGGAAGGGAUCUAGCUCACAACUCCCUUUCCACAAUCGAUAACCGCGACAGAAGCAGCCGAAGAGGAAGGCUCUGCAAAAAAAGAGGUAACAACUGGGCGUGAGAACUAUUGCAAAAAUAAGCAAUCCUCAGUGGUACCGCCCUCAAUCUCAUCGGCUCACCCACAAAGUCUACAUGCAGAUGUAUGCUCAAAUAAUAGUAAAGGAACUGGAAACAAUCUACAGCUAUAUGCCACGAUACUCUCAUGAUCCAAUACUAACUAUCUGUAGAAUAAUACAAAUCUCUGACCCAAUCUCACUAGAGACUGUGAAAACACCCGUCCCGCUUGUCGAAGCGAACCCGUAUACUACCCUAUGAGUAGCCGGUGGAGAAAACUCUCUAGGGACUGUAUACACCCGUCCCGUCUAAUUAGACUACACCACAGCUCAAGAGUAGCCGGUGGAGAAAACUCUCUAGAGACUGUGAAUAUACCCGUCUCGCCUAAUUAGGCUACACCGUAGCUCAAGAAUAGUCAGUGGAGAAAACUCUCCAGAGACUGUGAAUACACCCGUCUUGCCUAACUAAACUACACCGUAGCUCAAGAGUAGCUGGUCUAGGUAAAAAGGUCCGACAGGACGGCUGUAACUCCCCUCACGUCACAACCUCAUUGAAGGUCGAGAAAGGCGUCACUAACUACCACUGAUCCAACCUCACACGGGCUGCCCAAACGGGCCCACCCUGCCUGUAUCCAACUACGCUGUACACCACCCACUGGGGUGGCCAGUACAAGAACUAUCCGAGCAGAAACUGCGACCUUAUCGCACUAAAAGCUCAUUCCGGAAUGGCAUUCGUGGGCGCGACCCAACCGAGUUUACAAGUGUCUCUGUGAAGUUCAAUCAGUCUCUCACAGGCUAUAAUCGAAGUGAACAGGUCACACUGGUCUAACCACCAAAUCUCACGUGCUUUUAGCACAAUCUAAUGCAAAAACAGCCAACAGGGUCCACCAUCAACCAUGACGGCACCCGACACAGUUCGGAACAGCCUAAACACUGCUGUAAAAAUAAGCUUGGCAUCCGAUCACGAGUGUAAAUGCAUUCUAUACUAUCUUGAGUAUCCACCGCCCACAAACUGCGGUGAUACAAACAAACUACGGCUCCUAGAGCUAAAUCUGGUAGUUUUAAUAUAGGACGGUGUAAAAUUAUUAGUUUUCUCCUAAGUCAAGUUUCAAGUCCAACAUAUAUAAUUUAUCUAACUCACUACAGCAUGCUCCAAAUUCGGAUUUUGUUUAACAUGUUAAUCGAUGAAUUCGAGCUAAAAACAUGAUAUACAAUUGCUGAAAAUAUACAUGUUGACUAUGCGUACACUUAGGAGGAGAAUCCGAUGAUUAACCCACCUCUAGCGCUAAUCCACGGCAGCACGGGGUCGCGAAGUUACUGGGAUACACAACCGAAACCACCCCUGGACCAGCAGCAAGGAUUCUCCAAGAACUAAAACAACAAUACCAAUAAUUCUAUCAAUAUACUAAAAUUCAGCCCCUAAGGUCAAAUUCCUUCAAUCUCAAUGUCAAUUUCACCUUUCGAUCUUCAAAUCUGGUGAAGCAAGGUUCCAAAACCUGUGUACUAAGAUGGAGAAUCACCCCUAGGUCCAAAAUCCAGCUUCCUCCAAAGAUUGCAUCAUGAAAAUCCACAAAACUCAAAUUUCAGCUUCAAUACUGCAGCAGUCCAGAAAAAUAGCAAUUUGACCAAACUAACCUCAAUCAAAUUCGUCAAAAAAGGCUCCACGAAUUCUUCUUGAAGUCCAGAAUCCAACAAACCAAGUUUCACAGCAAACGGAGCUUCCUACGUCGCACACGAGCCAAAACGUCGAAGGUCGCUGCUGGAAAUCUGCAGAAUCAGCACUCCUCAAGCUUGGAAUUGUAGAAUUUAGAGUAAUUUGAGGGACUUAGAUGCAAAAUGGAGCUUCUCUGUGAAGAAGGAAUGAAAAGUCUUCACUGUGGUCGAACACUACAUAUUUAUAGGGUGAUCAAACAGUCAGAUAAGCCUCAGGAACAAAAGAGGUUAACCUGCAGAGUUUGCAGAAAACCACACUUUCGAGCGCCCAAAACCCCUUUCUGGGCAUCCGAAACCUCCAGGCUACACACUUGCUCCCCUUCGGUUCCUCCGCCUGCGGUGUGCUGCGCCCAUAUCAGGCUCCGGCGGAGCUCACCUACCACCAGCCAAGUGUCAGCGCAAACGAUACUCACGAAGUGAAAUUUCGGACCCACUUCUGGGCGCCCGAAACUAGGAUUCGAAUUGGCUUCCAGUUCUGCUCAGUUCAGCACUCGAGUUCUAGGCGACCCAAACCCUGUUCUGGGCGCUCGAAACUGGCAAAACUCCUGUUUUGCUCCUUUGAGUGCGCCGAGUCCAUUUCUGCAUCUAUUUCAUGCAGAAACGACUCCGACUCAGUCCGACACUCUCCAGAGGUGUCGACCAGUCACUAAUACUGUAGCGAAUCCUAUCCAAACCUCUGGAACACUGCACGUGUUUGGUUGAUAAGGAAAAAUAAAAUGAAAAAUAGUUUUUCGUUUUUAUUUAACUUGUUUGGUUAGUUAGAAAAUUUGGGAUAUAAACACUUUCUACAAAAAGAGGGUAAGAUUACUAAUUUUUUAGAACUUAACAUACUACUCACAAACUAUUUAUACUAUAAAUAAUAAAUAAAUUAAAUAAAAAUAAAUUUUAACUAUAUUUUAGUCUAGAUAAUAUAAUUUGACAAAAGAGAUGGAGUUGAUGAAGAUGACAGAUAAGAGAUGAAGAUGGUUCUUCCAUGUGUAUAUGUACACACAAGCGCAUGCGCGCGCGCAUGCGCGCGCGCACACACAUAUAUAUAUAGAGAGAGUCCAGCUACUAUACUCUUAUGAGUAUAGUCAACUUUGUACUCAUAAGUUUUUGACUGUUAGAUCUUCUUUGUUAAUCAUUUCCACCCGUUAGAUCAUACUAUUUAACCAACCACCAACUCAAUCCUAGGGGACCACUAUUAACCUAACCGAGGACCGCUAUCAUCCUAACCGCAUAUCUUUUCAUCCAAUGAUCGAAAACUUAUGAGUACAAAGGAUGCUAUACUCAUAAGAGUAUAGUAGCCUUAGCCUAUAUAUAGAGUUCAGCUACUAUACUCUUAUGAGUAUAGUUAAUUUCGUACUCAUAAGUUUUUGACCGUUAGAUCUACUUUUUUGAUCAUUUCCACCCGUUAGAUCAUACUAUUCAACAAACCACUAACUCAACUUUAGGAGACCACUAUUAACCUAACCAGGGGCUGCUAUCAUCCUAACCACACAUCUAUUCAUCUAAUGGUGGGAAACUUAUGAGUACAAAAGGGGCUAUACUCAUAAAAGUAUAGUAGCCCUAGCCUAUAUAUAGAUUCCAGCUACUAUACUCUUUUGAGUAUAGUCAACUUUGUACUCAUAAGUUUUUGGCCGUUAGAUCUACUUUUUUGAUCAUUUCCACCCGUUAGAUCAUACUAUUCAACCAACCACUAACUCAACCCUAGGGAACCACUAUUAACCUAACCGAGACCACUAUUAACCUAAUCGGGGACCGCUAUCAUCCUAACCGCACAUAUUUUCAUCCAGUGGUCGGAAACUUAUGAGUACAUAUAUAUAUAUAGGUUAGGGCUACUAUACUCUUAUGAGUAUAGACCCAUUUGUACUCAGAAUUUUUUGGCCAUUGGCUGAAGGGAUAUGCGCUUAGGAUGAUAGUAGUACCCGGCUAGCAUAAUAGUGGUCCCCUAGGGAUGAGUAAGUGGAUAAUUGAAUAGUAUGAUCUAAUGGGUGGAAAUAGUCAAAGAGGUAGAUCUAACAGCCGAAAACUUAUGAGAAAGGAGUCUAUACUCAUAAUAGUAUAGUAGUCGGACUCUACAUAUAUAAAGAAAGAGAGAGUUGAUCUAGAAUACUAUUAAUAGCAUUUGGGCUCUUUUGCUAUCAAUUUUUUAACCGUUAGAUCUACACUUUAAUCAAUUCCAUCUUUUAGAUCAUACUAUUCAAUCAACCACCCACUCAACCCUAGGGAGACUACCACUAAACCUUGGGGAUCACUAUUAUCCUAACCCUAUAAUUUUUUAUCCAAUAAUUAAAAACUCGAUAGCAAAAGAGCCCAAAUUUUAUUAAUAGUAUUCCAACCAAAUUCUACAUAUAUAUAUAUAUAUAUAUAUAUAUAUAUAUAGUCCGGCUAUGGUGCUUGUAAAAGCACCAAGCACAUGGUGCUUGUAAUUUUUUUACCGUUAGAUCUACGCCUUGAGCUAGAAUACUAUCGAUAGCAAACCGGCACUUUUGCCACCCAUUUGUUUUCGAUGAUGGAGCCUCCAAAUUGAUGAUUGGCACCGUUGAACAUGAUCUAUACCAUUUGAAGUAUUUAGAAAUUAAAUUUCAUACAUUUUCGAUAUUGCUCUCUUAUCCAUUGAGUGGACACAAAAAUGAAUAGCUGAAAAUGAAUAUUUUUUAAAAAAUGAUGGUAGGAGUCUUGUAAUCAAGACCAAGAGUAUAGAUCUUGUUUUAAAUAGUUUAAAGAAUUUUCUAACAAAAAUUCAAUUGAUUUGGAUAUCUUUACGCCGUUAAACGAGAAAACGCCUCAUAUCGACCAUUAAAAUUACAAAUUUUGAAAGCCUUUGAUCAUUAGGCAAAUAAUGUCGAAAAGAUUUGAAAUUUGAUUUCUAAAUACUUCAAGUGGUAUAGAUCAUGUUCAACGGAGCCGAUCGUCAAUUUAGAGGCUCCAUCAUCGAAAACAAAUGGGUGGCAAAAGUGCCGGUUUGUUAUCGAUAGCAUUCUAGCUCAACUAUAUAUAUAUAUAUAUAUAUAUAUAUAUUAUAUAAGUUGACUGUGCUAUUAUAGUAGCAAAAUCCUAAUUGUUGCUACCAGUGUUUUCCACUUUGAUCAACCUUCAUUAUUUCAACCAUUGGAUUAAAUAAUAUAACCCCAUGAACCACUCAACCCAGGGCCACUCAACCUAACCGGGACUAAAUAUCAUCCUGACCCUACAAACUUUCAUCCAAGAGUUAAAAACUUGAUAAAAAAAGAGCGUUUUACUAAUAAUAUAUGCCAAGCUAAAUCUAUAUAUAUAAUAAAUAUAUUUAUUCCGGCACAUAUCUAUUAGAGUAACGAUCGCCCCUCGUCAAUAAGUUGUUUGAUGAUAGAGCUUCCGCAUCGAUAUCCACCCGUAAACGUUAUUUACAAUCAUUAAAACUUCUAGAAAUAAAAAUUUAUAAUUUCGACAUCAUUUAACCUUCAUCAAGACGUCACAAAUUUGACAAUUUUUAACGGUCCGGCUAGGAUACUUGAGUUUAACGAUUAAAAAAUCGAAAUUUGUUGAAUUUUUGAUAGAAAAUUCAUAUUCACUAACUAAUAAAAUCAUAACUCGAUCUGAAUUGAAAGGAUCCGAUCAUCGUAUUUAGACGUCGUCAUUUUUGACACCGUUCAUUAAUACCCAUUGAUGACUUAUAAAUUCGAAAAUUUACAAAUUAUUCUAGAAGUAUCAAAUACCUAGAUCAUAUUAACGGAGGGAUCGCGUUCGAUCUCCAUCAUCGAAAACAACUUAUAGGAUGAGGCUCCAAUACUCAUAAUAAGUAUAGAGCCGUGGCCCUAUAUAUAUAAGUAUAAUAUAAUGGUUGGGUGUGUGGGUUGUGGUGCAUCAAAUUCAAAGUCCUGAAGAAGAGUGAAAAGGGAUAACAGUUCCGCUCCCUGUCGUGUCCUAAGUCUCAUCUCGCGUAGGGGAAUUUCAAAUUAGUAUUUUGAUGAUUUAGAAGAAAAGGCAUGAGAACGAAAGGCGGAAUGGAAAACCAAAAAGAUCUCUAAAAGUUCUUCACAAGACGUAAAGAAAAUGACACGAAUUAAAAAUGCAUUUAGGAAAAAAAGAGUAAUAAAAGAGUGAUCCACAAAACCCUCAGUUAAGAUAAAUUUGCCAGCGUAACAAACUAUAAGAUAAUUAAAUAUUAAUUUAAUUAUUAUUACAUACAAAUAAUUAUAUUAUAUAAAUAAUACUAAUUGGGGAGGGAGAUUGCGUUGGAACAUUGAACCUGACGUAAUGGACCGAUGGUUCGCCGGAACGCCUAUCAAAGAUGGGCCCCACACAUUGCUGUGCAACGGUGCUAAAAGCCCGUCCGUACAGAGCGUUAAUCCUACGACCAAACCCCGAACACCGCUAAGCCCCGCGCUGCCGCCGCCGCGCCGCCGCCGCCGAUGCUCCGCGCCCACAUCGUCGCAUUCCCCUGGUUUAAACCCUAGCUCCGCCGUAACAUCGACCCGAGUCCCAUUCCUCCCUCUCUCCAUCUUCGAUCGCAAUUGCUUCAAACCACAGCCUCUGCAUCCGACCUUCGGUUUACUUGUAGGGCCGAGCUCGAAGCAUCGUUGGUGACCAAAUUCGAAGCCUAGGGGCGACGAGGAGCUUCGCGACGGUGCGAUGCGAAGAGGUCGAGAGGAGAGGGAUUUACGCUUCUUCGGCCGCUUCGAGAGAUCGUCACCAAUUCCUUGAUAUAGCCACCGAUUGGUAAGCUUAUAUUAUAUCUCAUUGAUACAUUACUUCUCGUUAUCUGGCAAUUUACUAAAGAUUUGUGUAAAAAAAAAUUAAAAUGUAAAGAUGCAAACCUGAAGAGGAAGGAGCGCCAGCAUUUCCAACAAUUUUGACGAAUUUCGACAACCUUCGAUCCCUAUGGGCUUUAGCACUCCAUUACCAACAGCCACAUUUAGGCAAGGUAAACAUUUUGAAUGUUAUACUGACACUAUAAAAAUUUUGGCAUUGAGAAACUCAUAUUUUUUUAGCUUAUUUCGAUUGUAAAAAGAAAUUAUUCGAUAAGUUCCUUGAUCAAAACAAAAUUACCUCUAUGCUUAUAUGAAAUGAAUUUUUCUUGUUCCAGGCCGUCGCAAGAAAGUACAUACGAUACACAAGAUUGGUAAAUCCACUCCGAUGCAUUGCAAGGUCGUCUAUCGCCUUAGUGUAUUGAGAACCUCUUGAAUUUUCUUGCAAUUUUGUUUGUAUUGUUGAUAAUAACAUUCAUAGUGCAUGUACAAAUGCUCAUCUUAUGCUAAGCUCGAGAAGCGAUAAGCGUUCUGCUUCAACUAGGGAAUGCCGCUCUCGCCGCCGUAACCCAUCUUCUGAACCCUAGCGUGAUGUUCUUUUCCUUAAGUUAUUGUUAUCCUGUUAUCUAUGAAAUUGGCGGCUUUACCUCUAUCUCCCUGCACAGCACAUAAUAUGCCUCCUAAAAAUCAAUUUUUCAUACACAAACUGCUGAAAAGGUAGUUUUUGUAGCAAAAUUUUUUAAGUGGUGGCUCAGUUGUUUUACGAGAAGUUUGUAUAACAGAUGUUUUUGAAAGUGCAUUCUGCUAGUAAACUACAGGAAUAAAUAAUGUUUUAAUGGCUAAUGCAAGGUUCAAUAUUGCAGGUUUGGUCUUUAAAUUAGUAAAGUACAAAGUUUUCAAGUACAAAUGUAAUAUCUCUUCAAUGAAUUUCUAUAACCUGUAAUAUUUAGGUCCAAGAGAUUGUUGCGGGAUACGGACAUAUAACGGCGUCUCGAUCGUUACUUUCACAUGUGUUCCAAGAAAGGAUAUUUAAAUAGUAGUUCCUCCUUCUGCCUCUUGUAGUUGGAUUCCACCAUAAUAUUUGUCAAUUAAAUACUAAAAACGAAAUAUUAUUGAUAGUAAUCGCCGUAGAUACUUUCCAUCUUUUAAAGUUGAAACAUGCAAUUGGCGCUCAACAAAACUUGUCCUGGUUAAAAGUCAACAAUCCUCGCCAGCAAAUCGCUGAUAUACUGUAAAAAAUUUCUGUGUAAAUUCAAUUUUUGAUUUAUCUACGCAAGCACUUUAAUUAUCUUUCGACCUAAGUAGUCACACCAAAGAUAGCAGAUUAAUCUCACUGUUAAUUUUUUACAUUUACUCUAUUUUCUUCUUAAUUUUUUGUAUACUUUGCCUAUUUACAGAAAAUCCGAAAUAGCUCAUUCUAUUGUGCUCUUUUGUUCUGGUGAAAAUAGUAUCAUGACUCCUGGCUUGUCGUCCCUUGGAACUUGGUGCAGUACUGAAAGUUGCAUAGAGGUACAAAGUAUUUAGAAUAACCAACCAGCCUUCUGAACUAUACAAUCACUAAGAAUAGAAACCAUAAUGAAUUCGAUUGGGUAAAUCCAACACCAGUUUAAGUAAAUAAUGUUGUACGUAUUGGAGUAACUGACGAUAUCAUAGAGCCAUUUUCUUAAUAUUUGCAGAUAUUGUAAUGCAACUCUGUCAACUNNNNNNNNNNNNNNNNNNNNNNNNNAAAGAGUUUGGACUUUAGCUACCUCGAUUGUCAUUCUGCACGAGGUUAACUCGGUGACAGGUCGAUGGUUGUACGUACAUCAUUUUGCUACCGGUACACCCUUGGAUGUGGUCGUACGGUACACUUUGUGGGCAGAUUUCAAACCCGAGCCUCGGAGUGUGCAUUUUCGGUAGGAUGUGUCGUACACUUGCACGUGUACCCGUACGACUUUAGGCAAAUCUGAGGCAGUUGUGAACUGCAGGGGUUUUCGCCAAUUGUGGGCAUUCUCUAUUAGUACCCCAGCCCUAGGUGGUCUUUCUGAGCUUGCACUAGCAAGGAGGAAGCGUAAGCGAUGCUCUCCACACCUCCUAUUCACUUUUCCUUGAUUUUGCUUUGGAUUUUUAUGAGUGUUAAAACACCUCUUUUUGCUCCUUUUUGGGUAUUGGAGGCUUUUCCACCAUUAGAGCUUGGGCUUGGAGCUUGUUGGGGGAGAGAUACUUGGACCUUGAGGACUUUGAACCUUGUUAGAAGCUUCUUAGAGGUUGGUAGCUUAUUCUCUCCCUCUAGAUUUUGGUUUUGAAGCUUAUACUAGAUGAAACCCUAGAUUGGAGAUUUAGGGUUUAUUUUGGGCGUUUUGAUUUUAGGGCUUUUGGAGCUUGAUUGAUUGGAUUAGAACCUUCCUCUAGGAUAGAUUGGAAGGGAUUUAGCUCUCUUUUGGAGCUUGAGAGAGAUCUUCCACUCAUUAGGUGAGUUUUAGCCCUUUUGCUAAAUUUGUUAAAGUGUGAUCUCAUAGAUGAUCGUAAUGCCCGUGUAUCUUUUCGCUCAAUACUUUUAGGGUAUUUUGAGACUCGGGGACAACUUUGUUCGGCGAAAUGAGACCCUACGCGACGGUUCGGUGGGUUUGACCUAGCCACACAAUGAGAAAUUCUCAUUUGUGCUUAAUUAAGCAUCGUUAAAUAAAAAAGCAUGUAUAUUCUUAUUAUAUGUAUUUAUUAUAAUUUUUAGAAUGCUCAAAAUACAUGUGUUGUAUAUGAUGAAAUUUUGGACCUCUAAGUAGUAGAGAGUUGCUUGGGAGAUCUUUGGUUGCAUUUAGCAUUCUCUAUGAGACUUGGUUUCAUGCUUCUAUGGUAUAAAUGAGUUCGGAAUCAUGCAUUUAAACUUGAGGUUACUUGUGACAUGAAAGAUGACAAGAUUGUCAUUUAGGAGGUAUGUGAACUAGAGAGCUAAUGUCAUAAAGCGGCAUUGAGCUCGGGACAUGUGAGAACCUAGUGAGUAGGGCCAUCGAGGGACUUGGGUUACAUGUUGGACACCAAAUUGCCUAAGUGUCAUCAAGGGGCACUAGGCAUAGCAAAUGCUAAAACUUCACAUUGUGACUUAGACUAGAUCUUCGGGAUGCUAGUUAUGAUACCAUGUUAGAGACAUGAGGAUUGGAUAUUUGAGACUUGGACUAUGCUUGCUUGCCAUUUGUGCUCAUUCGCACAUGCUUGUGAGGGUCGCUCCCUACAAGCCGGCACUCCGGAGUUGGCCUAUGCGAUUUUUGUUCGCGCGUGCAGUAUUGAGGAGCCUACGGGGUCGAGUGGGACAGACACAUUCCAUGAGUAGGAAUGUCGGGCUACCACAGGCACUUAGGCGGCACAAGCUGGACUACCUUGGGUAGGUCCCUAAUUGGAAAUGGAAAUCGACACGGUUUGAGAAUGAACAAUCACUACUAGAUAGGCUUAGUAGUUGGAUUACAUUUACAUGCAUAUAGCAUAGGGUUGAGACAUGUAGUCUACUUGACAGUUACCUAUUUCAUCACAGUAUACUGGGUUGCCAUGAUAGAGCUUAUACAUCAUAUUUGAAUAAAGGGUUGCAACAGUAAACUAUUGCCUUUGAUUACUUUUCCUUAUGAUAGAAUAGAUGUACAACAUUUGACAUCGUGCUUAUGAGGGAUAUAGUAGUAUAGCAUUUUACUUAUGCACUCUCUUUCAGCAGUUUAUUUACAUGCUCCUUUUUAUUACUUAUUGCUAUUUGCAUUACUUACCCUUGUUUUUAGGGCCUAGUGGAGCAGGAGCUGAGGUCAGUAAUUGCCCACUGGGAACUAUAAAUUAUAGUUCUCACGCCCUCUUUUUCUCGAUGUUUUUCAGAGCCUUCCACGCAGGGAGAGGCCAGGGAUCGCGGAAAGGGUAUCGCCUCGGGCUAGCGUGCUUACCGAGGGAUCGUUCGAUAGGUGGUCUACCUCUCGUGUUAUCUUUUUGUGAAAGGUUGAGAGUUGUACCCGCAUAUGUAUAGAGACCACCAUUUUUGUACUAGAGACAGAUAUUGUACUACUUAUGAUUCCUUUUAUUGUCUAGCUUUACUUCUUUACCUUGGUGUAGAUGUUAGAACUUUACUCGCUCUGAUAUCAUUAGCUGCUUAUUAUUUCGUUUCUUCUAUUUGUUCUACUGCUUGCAUGUACUUCCGUUUCUUUUUUGUAGACGCCUUAUAUGUGUAGACAUAUGGCGGGUCUGGGCACGCUACCGGGAGGGCCUCCGCCGGUCCCGGGGCGUGACAUUAACUCUCUGACAAUAAGGUCAAGUCUCACCGAAGAUAAAUCAACUGAUCAACAUGAUCAUAUCGCAACAUGGAGUACACACCAAUCUAUACGGUAAUGAACAUGACAAUCAAUAGGCAAGUAGAGUAAAAGCACAAGCCAAUAUGAAGUCAACAGAAGUUGUUCUACUUAAUUAAUAGAAUAGAUCAAGCGAAAAGAAAAGCGAGUAAGUUACAACUUUACUGACUUCAGAAUGGAGCACCCACCUAACCAAGUACCUGAGUUCUCGACUCGAUCAGUGUAUUUAACCGUCACCUGUAUAGGACAUACGAUCACCAAAUGCCACAAUGAGUAUCCCACGUGUCAACUAUAUCAAUUCGACACGAUCAACCUGUACUAUUAUACUAUAGUGCGACUGGAACAUCAGUUCCAUAAACCGACAUACAUAACUAAGCCCAAGCCAAGCCGACUCAACAAGGAGUCACCAUGUCACAAUCACAGUCUCAAGAUUCACCGCUUUAGGUGAUGAGACUACCGCACACUAAGUGUUCACCAAACUGAACGACAACGGCCGCACAAGGCUACAGCCGAACCUACAAGUGUUGUUCUGAUGAUCCGAACACCACUUUGGUGUCGCACCAUGCACACACUGUACAAUUGGCACGAUGAUGCUCGCAAUAUUGCAACCUCACCAAUUGGUGACAUAAAGUCACCCACAAUGCGCAAAGAUUCACUCAGAACAUCGGACGUGCAAAUCCAAUUUCCGAAUCUGCCGACUUCCGAGAACUCCACUGGGAUGCCACUUCGGGUAUGAAGUGUUCCGAGUCAUGCCAAAACCUCUUUAACUCAUAUCUGCUGUCCCCAAACACCCUAUUUUAUGUGUUGGGACAGCCGCAAAGGAAAUGCACCGAAAAAAAGAGCCGUAGCUUUGAAAGUGACUCGAAGUGGGUCGAACGAUACGUAUUUCGGUAUUCAGACCGCCCACAACGCACUUGCUGCCAUCAGGGGCACAAAACACGAGGCUAUCAUAGCCAACAAGGCUCAACAAACAUUCCGGACAGCCACACAAUAAGCUUCGUGGUAACGAAACCGAGAACCGCGCUAUUGGUAUGAUUUCGGCUCCAUUUUAUGUCGUUUCACACCAAAUCGGUCUCGAAAUGUUUCCCAAACCUCGAACACUAUAUUUAAACAUCUAAUACCAUCAAACACUACUGCCCAACACCACUUAUAAUGCAUAAAGCAUUAAAAAGUCCAAGUCGCCCCAAUAUUACACGUAACGCAUCAUUAUAAUACAAUAGAGGGAUUUCAAGUGUUUUACUAGGUUGGAGCUAAACGAGUGUAGUCGAAUGGCACAGGAGGGUCGAAGACGCACCUCUAGCAACAGCGAACCAACAAUGGCGAUUGCCGACCAUCAGAGAGCGAAAGUUGGCCGCACGGAGCCAAUUUUGGGUACACGACGGGUUCGCGAUUCUAUCGAGCUUUCGGAUCACUCCAGCAAAGCAAGCAUCAUGUCACGCCCCGUAACCCGCCUCUUUGGUAUCGGCCCCGUCGAUAGACCGCCGAACGGACAGAGUCUACCCUGUACGUCCAAGGCGUCGGAACAGUACAAUUCAAGUGGUUCCAAAUAUGAACAGAAUUCAUACAUAGAAUGCAUAAGGAAGGUAUCGAAAACAUAAAUACUAAGCUAUUACAAGCAUUCGUCUCAAUUUUUACAUUUUCUUUACAUUCAACUUCCAAGUACAAUCCACUUAUUAUUACAAGUUUUUUCUUUUCUUUCCACACCCCUAAGCUAAACUGACUUAGGGUACUUCUAUCUCUGGUCUCGGCGGUAGGGAGCUAUCUACCGAGCUACGCCCUUUCCUCGCGCCGCCGCGCCGCUGACGUGUGGGCCUGAAAAACGUGGGGUGAGAACUAUAUACAUAGUUCCUAGUGGGUACAGCCACCCAAGGGAAGAGCUCGACCCACCAGGUCCAAAGGAGGCAAAACAAGCUUGUUAGUACAACAGAUAUAUAUAAACAUAUAAAAUUUAUGCAACUAACCACUAACAUGCUUAUGCCUCGCAACAUGCGAUAAUGCAACAUACAUGCAAUACAAGUAGAUCUACCGUUUUUACCUUUUUAUUUCAUUACCUAUAUUCUUUACAAUCCACUACUAAGAUUCAUUUAUCUUAGCCAAGUUAUACUACCCGACUUGGUCUUCAGUCAACUACCAGUGAACUGCCGCUCAUUGUUCAGGCUCGAGGUGAGGACGUCUCACAUGCCUCUCAGCCUUAAAUCCACUCGACUGUAGGUCAUCCGUUGGGUAAGGAAAUACCAUCAAACCCUUGACCACAAGUCGCAUACCGGGGGAAGAGAACCACACAUACCCGUAUCCACAAGUCACAUAUUGGGCGAGGAGAACCACACAUACCCGUUGAAUCACUGCCGAGCGAGGAGAACCAUACAUACCUGCAGUUAUGAUUCACUUGCCAGGCGAGGAGAACCACACGUACCUGCAAGUAUAACCGCUACCGAGCGAGGAAAACCACACGCACUUGCAGCCACCAAUCCUAGGGAUUCCGAAAUCCACUUUUCAAGACUUAAGGGUUUAUCUCAUACCCUAUGUUGUUAACCUUUCUAGGUUCAAGCCACUCGUACCCUAGUGGUCAUUCUACCACUAUGUUCCAUAACCUAGGUUCUACAACACUAGGUCCAAUGUCCAACUUAUGUUUAAUAACACUAGGUUCAAUGUCCAACCUAUGUUUAAUAAUACUAGGUUAAAUAUCCAAUCAAUUAUUUUCUAUCCUAGUUGUCCACAUCUAGGAUUCAUAGUUUUCAUGUCAUCUAGUCCUUGGCGCCACACUUAUCGAAUUCUCUAAUUUUUCCUAGAGUUCAUCGACCUAUAUUCACAUUCAUACCUAGGCAUACAUAUGCAUCCUAUAUGUUUCACAUGCCUAUGUUCUUGUUCAAUGAUAGAUUAUUUAUCCUAAGUAGCAUGCCAUCUAUGACUACUUAUUUAACCAAUUAAUCUAUCAUUACAUACAUGCAUCAAUAAAUAAAAUCAUACUUCACUUUGGCAUGGAAGCGACCUACUCACUUCGGUGAAGCACAACUCACCUCACAAUGCUUUCUAAUUGCUUGUAGACACUUGCAAUUAGGCCAACCACUUGGACCUCCAAGCUUAUUCCCAAGCUUUCCUUGCCCUAUAUAAGAGAUCCCUCGUUACCGUUUUCGAACCACUAAACGAUCUUUGCGUUUGAAAUCAAAUGAUCUCACAUGAUUUCCUAACCCUCAAUUAGGGUUUCAAAGAGUUAAAACAACAUGGGUUAAUUACAUCGGUAGUCCCCAACCUUCUCACCAAUUUUCACUUGAGUCCCCAACCUUUUUAUUUUUGCAAUUGAGUCUCUAACCUCUUGAUUUUAUUACAAUUACGGCCCAACCGUAAAAAAAACUGUUAAAAUUAACGGAAUUGCCACGUCAGCGUCUAUUUGGCAAUCUUUUGCAUGCAAUUUAGGUCCCUAAACUUUGCACAUUUUUCAUUUAGUCCCUAAAAAUAAAAUUUCAAAAUUUUAAAUUUAAAUUCAAAAAUAAUAUUAAAAUUAAAAUUUUAAACUAACAAGAAAUUAGAAUUUUGAAUUUUAAUGUGAGAUCCCUGGUGUUUGACUAUGGAGGCUUGUCGACAGCUCUAGAGAGUGUCGGGACAAGUCCGAGUCGCGUUGGCGUCAAAUAGACGCAAAACGGACUCCGUGCGACGCGAGGGCAGCCUUCAGCGAAGAAAUCUGCAAAAUAGCAGAUUUUCCUGCUUGCUGUACCGGUACAGCCAGCGAGGUGUACCGGUACACUAUACUGGUUGAGCACGUACUGCUCUCGGGUUUGCCUCCUGUACCGGUACGCGAUCCCGUGUACCGGUACACCAGGGUAGGUGAGGGGGUGUUUUGGUCUUUUUCUACCUCGUUCGUAUCACCCUCCUCUCCCCAGCUUAUUUACAUGUAGAGUGAGGCUGAGAGAGAGAGUUUUGCUCUUGGUUCUCUCCCUCUCUCUCUCUAGAGCCGAUUGUGAGCAAGGUGGAGCUCGGGUGAAGUUUCAUUGCCGACGUGGUGCCGCGGAGCCGUUCGGGCGCACGUUGUGUCGUCUUAGUGCUGUGAGGAGCUCGAGCGAGCGUGGAUUUCUGUCGUCCUCAACAUUGCGCCGACUCUUGAGGAUCUAUCGAGGUGAGUGCUCUGUGGAAUUGCUGCGCAUACUUCGGGUAUCAUUAAUUCGAGCUUAAGUGCUGAUUCGCAGGAUCUUGUCGUCGGCUGUUAGUAUUGCAGCUCGUUCUCGACGUAGGAGCAUCGGAUUGCGACGAGACUUGGUUCGUUGGAUUCGGGACUUCGAGAGGAAUCCACGAAACCCUUACUUGCGAAUUUUUGUGAAGGUUAGCUUGGUCGAAAUCCUUCUCUUCUCUGCUGUUGUGGAUUUUGGACUGAAUUGAGGAUUUUUGGUGUUUUUAGUUUGGAGUUAGCUCGAUUUCGAGACUCGGGCGUUUUUGGUCGAUACAACAGGUGGUGUCGCAGCCGAGGGGGUUCCGUGCUGCCAGGGAUUAGCGUGCGACGUGGGUUACAUCGGUUUUGACUCCUAAGUUCAUAAUCGUCGACAUGUAUAGAUCUCGAUUUUUGGAUAAUCUAUUCUAGCUCGAAUUUAUGGAUUAAAUGGUAGAUUGCAUAUCUGAAUUUGGAGCAUGUGGUAAUAAAUUGAACAGGUUAUACAUGUUGGACUUGGAAGUUGAAUGAGGAGAAAAUCUGCGAUUUGGACCUGUCACUUGAUUAAACUGCCUGAUUUAGCUCUAGGAGCCGAUAUUAAAUUGUACUGUCGCAGUAUCUUCGAGACGAGUACUCCCGGUAGUUUAGAAUACAUUUACGCUCGUGCUGGUAUGCCGAGUGGAUUUUUACAGGGUCGUUCAGGUUGUUCCGGACUGUUGGAUGCCGUCAGAGUUGACGGUGGACCCGUAUCGCCUUUUUGGCGUCAGAUUGUGCCGAGUGCACGUUACCUGUUUGUUGUUAGACCAGUUUGAGUCGAUUACUUGACUUUGGCUAGUUGGAGCCUGAUUGAGCUCGACAGAGAUACGCUGCAUACUCGGUUGGGUAGCGCCCACGAGUGCCACUCCGGAGGCGGGCUUUGUGCUUUCGCAUUGGUGUCGCUCAUGCCAGUUGGACUUGCUCUCCACGGACCAGUUAGUGUGGAUAGAGCCCGAUAGUCCCAACGGGGCAGGGACGGGUGUAUUCACAGUCCCAGGGACGGGUAUGUUUACAGUCCCGAUUGGAUUUGGUCAGAUUUGACAUGUCCUACAGUUGGUUAGUGGAGAGCAUGAUAGUGUAGUGACUUAUAGCGGUUGAGUUAUUUCCUGCAUUUUUCCUACUAUCCUGGCUCCCUUCUGUAGACUUAGUGGGUGGACCGAUGUUGUUUUGGGCGGUACCCACUGAGGACUACUUGUUUUUACAGUAGUUCUCACGCCCAGUUGUUACCCCUGUUUUGCAGAGCCACAGGUUUCGGCUGCUGCGCCUUCCGCGGAUCAGGAUCGAGGCAAGGGCGUCGCGAGUUAGAGCCCUACCCGCUGAGCAGAGCUAGAGGCACCCUACUGCAGGUAGUUGUUUUACUUCGAGCUUAUGUACAUAGUACUUAACUCGCCAGUGCGAGUAACGCUGUAUUUUGGAUUUGGACUAUGUAUAUGAAACAAAGUUUGUUUAGCUUCUGUUUUCUCUAGCAGCUCUCUACUACUGUUCGUAGUAGUGUUUGAUUUACAGGUACAGCUGUCGCUUCGUAUACAGGGAAAAUUUCUUUGUAUACGGCGGAUUUGUCGGCGUGCCCGGGGAACGAGACAUCCGGGGCGUGACAGAUUAAGUUGGUGUCAGAGCUUUGCUAUAGGUCGUUGGGACCUAAGAAACCUAAGUUUGGCAGACCUUAGGAAAACAAGACGCGAGAAGCGUAAUUUAAUUGCGAAAGUCAAUGAUUAUUUGUUCUAACUCCUCCUAAAGUGGAGUGAGUGACUGAAGGAGUUCCCGUUUUGGCCUGAGAAAUUAUGUUGGCUGCAGACAACAUAAUUUUGGAGGAAAACAGGGACCGCCUUCCAAACUUUCGUUGAUUGGGUCGAGAGUGUUGCGUUGUAUCUGACCCCGAUUUGUUCCUUUCAGCUAUGUAUCGUCGCCGAGGUCGACCAUCGCUGCGGGAGCGUGCCCAGUUGGCGCGGGAUCGUGCUGGACCUUCCGAGAGACCUGAGCAGAUGGAUCAUAGUGCACGGCAGGAGCAGAGAGACAGACCGGAGGUGAGUGCACCCCCUGUUGUGGAGCCGAGUGCGCGACCUGAGGCUAGCGCACCCCCGGAUCUGAGUGCACAGCUGGCUGCCCUGACUGAGGUGACGAGGCAGCAGGGGGAGUUGCUGCAGAGGUUGUGUGAGAGGAUAGCUCAGUNNNNNNNNNNNNNNNNNNNNNNNNNNNNNNNNNNNNNNNNNNNNNNNNNNNNNNNNNNNNNNNNNNNNNNNNNNNNNNNNNNNNNNNNNNNNNNNNNNNNNNNNNNNNNNNNNNNNNNNNNNNNNNNNNNNNNNNNNNNNNNNNNNNNNNNNNNNNNNNNNNNNNNNNNNNNNNNNNNNNNNNNNNNNNNNNNNNNNNNNNNNNNNNNNNNNNNNNNNNNNNNNNNNNNNNNNNNNNNNNNNNNNNNNNNNNNNNNNNNNNNNNNNNNNNNNNNNNNNNNNNNNNNNNNNNNNNNNNNNNNNNNNNNNNNNNNNNNNNNNNNNNNNNNNNNNNNNNNNNNNNNNNNNNNNNNNNNNNNNNNNNNNNNNNNNNNNNNNNNNNNNNNNNNNNNNNNNNNNNNNNNNNNNNNNNNNNNNNNNNNNNNNNNNNNNNNNNNNNNNNNNNNNNNNNNNNNNNNNNNNNNNNNNNNNNNNNNNNNNNNNNNNNNNNNNNNNNNNNNNNNNNNNNNNNNNNNNNNNNNNNNNNNNNNNNNNNNNNNNNNNNNNNNNNNNNNNNNNNNNNNNNNNNNNNNNNNNNNNNNNNNNNNNNNNNNNNNNNNNNNNNNNNNNNNNNNNNNNNNNNNNNNNNNNNNNNNNNNNNNNNNNNNNNNNNNNNNNNNNNNNNNNNNNNNNNNNNNNNNNNNNNNNNNNNNNNNNNNNNNNNNNNNNNNNNNNNNNNNNNNNNNNNNNNNNNNNNNNNNNNNNNNNNNNNNNNNNNNNNNNNNNNNNNNNNNNNNNNNNNNNNNNNNNNNNNNNNNNNNNNNNNNNNNNNNNNNNNNNNNNNNNNNNNNNNNNNNNNNNNNNNNNNNNNNNNNNNNNNNNNNNNNNNNNNNNNNNNNNNNNNNNNNNNNNNNNNNNNNNNNNNNNNNNNNNNNNNNNNNNNNNNNNNNNNNNNNNNNNNNNNNNNNNNNNNNNNNNNNNNNNNNNNNNNNNNNNNNNNNNNNNNNNNNNNNNNNNNNNNNNNNNNNNNNNNNNNNNNNNNNNNNNNNNNNNNNNNNNNNNNNNNNNNNNNNNNNNNNNNNNNNNNNNNNNNNNNNNNNNNNNNNNNNNNNNNNNNNNNNNNNNNNNNNNNNNNNNNNNNNNNNNNNNNNNNNNNNNNNNNNNNNNNNNNNNNNNNNNNNNNNNNNNNNNNNNNNNNNNNNNNNNNNNNNNNNNNNNNNNNNNNNNNNNNNNNNNNNNNNNNNNNNNNNNNNNNNNNNNNNNNNNNNNNNNNNNNNNNNNNNNNNNNNNNNNNNNNNNNNNNNNNNNNNNNNNNNNNNNNNNNNNNNNNNNNNNNNNNNNNNNNNNNNNNNNNNNNNNNNNNNNNNNNNNNNNNNNNNNNNNNNNNNNNNNNNNNNNNNNNNNNNNNNNNNNNNNNNNNNNNNNNNNNNNNNNNNNNNNNNNNNNNNNNNNNNNNNNNNNNNNNNNNNNNNNNNNNNNNNNNNNNNNNNNNNNNNNNNNNNNNNNNNNNNNNNNNNNNNNNNNNNNNNNNNNNNNNNNNNNNNNNNNNNNNNNNNNNNNNNNNNNNNNNNNNNNNNNNNNNNNNNNNNNNNNNNNNNNNNNNNNNNNNNNNNNNNNNNNNNNNNNNNNNNNNNNNNNNNNNNNNNNNNNNNNNNNNNNNNNNNNNNNNNNNNNNNNNNNNNNNNNNNNNNNNNNNNNNNNNNNNNNNNNNNNNNNNNNNNNNNNNNNNNNNNNNNNNNNNNNNNNNNNNNNNNNNNNNNNNNNNNNNNNNNNNNNNNNNNNNNNNNNNNNNNNNNNNNNNNNNNNNNNNNNNNNNNNNNNNNNNNNNNNNNNNNNNNNNNNNNNNNNNNNNNNNNNNNNNNNNNNNNNNNNNNNNNNNNNNNNNNNNNNNNNNNNNNNNNNNNNNNNNNNNNNNNNNNNNNNNNNNNNNNNNNNNNNNNNNNNNNNCCCCUCUGAUCUCCUGGUUUUGUGUUAAGGUUUCCAUCUUUUGCGGUAGCUGUUAUUGUUUGAUUGGAAAUGGGAUUUGACUCGCUGCUUAGCCCGCCGCCUGUUUGAUUCUUGAUCUGGUUAUGGAUCUGCUCUACACCAAUUUUUCUUUGAAUGAAUUGGUUUGUAUUUAGCCCACCAUCAUUUUGAUGCUUGUUCUCUUUUGUGUUUCUGCUCCACUCAAUCUACUACUAAAGCCUUAAUUUCUUUUUUUUCUUUUUCUUUGAAAGAAUUAAGUUGCUAUUUAGCCCGCUACCUGACUGAUGUUUUCUCUAGCUAUGUUUCUGCUCCACACAAUCGAUCAAAGUUUGAAUUUUACUUUGAAUGAAUUGGGUGUGUAUCUAGCCCACCAUCUGUUUGAUGCUUGUCCUAUUUUAUGAAUCUGCUCCGCAAAAUCGGUUGAAGUUUGAAUCUUUCUUCUUGAGUGAACUGGGCUUGUAUUGAGCCCACCAUCUGUUUGAUGCUUGUUCUGUUCAUGUUUCUGCUCCGCACAAUCUAUUAAAGUUUGAAUUUUUAAUGAGAAUUUCAUGUGGUGGGUGUGCUUCUGAAUUGGUCCUUAUUGAACUCGCUACCUGUUCAACAGUAUGCUUAUGUGUCCGUCCACCGUCUGCUUGGUGCUUGUUCGAUGUGUAGAGUUUCCUAAAUUUGUUCAUUUCGGUGCCUUUAUUUUCAGCAUAUUUAUGAGAAUUAGGCGCCCUUGAAUGGUUUGCGUAUGCUUCAGUUAUGGGCCUUGAUGUGUCCACCUCUGUUUGAUGUUUGUUCUCAGUAUGUUUCUUAUCUACAAUCUCUUUUCAAAUUGUUGAUAAACAUAUGUGGGUAUCAUUUAGCACUGCUUUCUGCUAAUUUCUCAGACUGUUUGGUGUUGUAUUGCUUCCAAAAUUUUCAGUUAUGGCAUGUCGGCCUUCAUGUAGGCUAAAUGCGACACUUUGGUUCUUUUAGUAAGAUGUUGUUGUAUAUGAUACUUCUCUAUUUCUACGAUUAACUAUGUAACCAUGAACUUCUUCAUCCCAGAAUCUAUAUUUUUGCGCUUUGUGAAUUUCAUUUGUGGGCGUUACUAAGACCUAAAAAGUAGUAAUAGAUGUAGUUGGACAAUAAAUAAUGGAAAAAUUCUUUUAGGGAUGUUGUUAUAUUUUUCUGUUCCUCUUAGUUAAUCAGAACCAUAAUUUUUUGCACAAAGAAGUGGUUUAUCUUCUGCCAAACAAUUCUUUGGGUGCUGAACAGUGGUGUAUCGAUUUAAAUUCAUAUUUGAUGGUUCUCUUCGUAGCACUUGAAAAUGUAAACUACUCUUCUGUGAUUAGUAUUUCCUGAUAAUUGCAACUAUAUCCAACAUUAUUGCCGAGCUGUUGUUGUCAUCUUGUUUUAGGGCCUUGCCUUCUAUUUCAAUCUGCUAAAGUUUUAUUGAAUCGGAACGCCUCAACUUUUCUGGCGACAACUUUUCAAUAUUUAUUCUCAGUAAAUUCACCUGCAUGUUCUGUAAUUAUUUGAAUGUUACUUCUGUGUUAGAAAAAAAAAAAAAUCAUCAAAAGUAAUGUUGUUUGCAAAUAGUUGUUUCUCUGAUGAAUAUGUUGAGAUGGUUUUGAUGUAGUCUCUCCAGGAAAUGGGUGUUAGGUAAAAAAACACAUGCGUAGAUGCUUCUUGUGAGAAGGAUUACAAAGGAUAAGGUGAGAAUAAUCAUCUUAAACGCUUUUGAAUGUUUUUAACAGUGACAUUCUGUGCUGGCAUAAGGAUUGUUUUGCUUCUCUCCAAAGUUGUAAGGUGCAAAAAUGUCGUAUUAAUUUUUUUUUUUUUUUUAAAGAACUAAAAAAGAAAGAAAAACUGAGAAGAGCUUAAAUAAUUGUGAGUAUAUUAUUUCUUUUGGAGGAAUGGAGAAAUGGGCUGGGUUUUCAUAAUGCGGCCUCAUGUGAUAGAGGCAAUGUAUUUUUUUUUUGAGAGAAAGGUAGCACGCUAUUUGCUUCAUUCAAUAAGAGAAAUGAACUAAGCGUACAAGGUGGAAGCAGUUUAGGCUUCCGUGAGUGAUAGAGGCAAUGUGGAGUGAGAAUUCUUUAAUCUUUCUGUAUAAUUUUAUGGUUUAUGGUUUAGGAAGUGUGAGAGAAGUCUGGUUCCAGGAUGGAAUAAGAACCAUUCCUUCCUGUUUUUUUUUUUUUUUUUUUUUUUUUUUUUUUUUUUUUUUUUUUUUUUUUUUUUUUUUUUUUCCUGUUUGGAAACAAUAUAUGCUGAUGGAAGUUACUUUUCCUUAUUAAACAAACUUUACACUUCCUCGAUUAUAAUUUCAUUUCUGUAUCUUGGACCAGAAACUUCUAUGCGGUUGCUUCUUGUUAGAUUAGAUACUUAUUAAAAGGGGGUGGUUUCAAUAGAAUCGUUCAUUCUCUGAAUUUUAUCUCGAUGGGGAAAACAAUAAAAACUUUAUUUGUAUUGGCUUAAUAAAGUUCACUCCAGAACUUUCCGAAUCAAAUAUAAUAAAUAUAGUUAUUAUUAUUCAUUCUAUAUUAUUUUAUUAUAUUAUUUUAUUUUUAUUCUCAUUUUAUCGUAAUUGAUCUCAGCCCAGUUUUGAAUGACUUCAAUUUCGAUUUUGUUUUUAUUACUUCGAACGAAAUAACGAAAGUGACUCUUUAUGGUCAGAAACGAUGUUACCCGAUCUACUUUCAUCCAAAUAAACUGAUCCUUGUUGUUUGAGAGGGGCAGACUCCGAAUUUGCAAAUUCAUGAGAUGCGCGCUUAUCCUUUUGGUUCCGGUAUAAGUACAAACUGUCUAUUUCAGAAAUAGAUAUAAGUUCAGAUAUAAGCAAGAAUUAUAUUAAUUUUGUAUUUAAAUGAAAAUUAAAUUAUUUUCGUGAAUAAGAAAAAUAGCGUUUGUAUCGAUAAGAUGAAAUAAGAAGAAUAGUGUGUAGUUAUAAAUAAGAAAUAAUGAUAUUACACCUUUUAUUAUAUUUGAAUUUAAAUUUUUAAAAUUUAUUUUUAUAUUUUAAGUUUUAAAUUUUAAAUUUUAAAAUUUAAUUUUUAAAUUUUAAAUUCUAAAAUUAAAAAUUUAAAUUAAAAUUUCAAACUUUAAAAUUUGAGAUUAAAUUUAAAUUUGAAAAAUAUAAAAUAUCAAAUUUUAAGUUUAAAAAUUUUAAAAUAUCAAAUUUAAAAUUUAAAAUUUAAAAUUAGAAUUUAAAAUUAAAAACUUUAAUUUUGAGAUUACAAAUUAUAAAUUUUAAAAAUUUAAAAUUAAAAUUAAAAUUUUUAAAUUUUUAAUUUUAAAAAUAAAAAUAGGAGUGUGAACAACAAUUAUUGUAGUGUCCCUGAUGUUUAGCUGUCUGAGAGACUUCAGCAUCUGUGGCUUGUUGACGUGUUUGGUGGAUGUUGGGACAAGUCGGAGUCGUUUUGGCCCGAAGUGGACGCAAAACGGACUCGGCGCGGUGCGAGAGUAGAGUUCUAAUACUGAAAUCUAUAAAGUGCAGGAUUUUAGUGUUGAGUACUGGUAACUGGGAGGAGUACCGGUACUUCAGAGGGAUUACAAAACUGAAUGCUCUUGGGUUUGUGCAGUUUGAUGCUCAGUACUGAUACCUGUUGAUGAGUACCGGUACUGGGACUGCGUACCGGUACUACAUCGGGCUAGUACCGGCACCCGGCGCGCAAGUGUGCAGAAAGAGGGCCAAGUAUCAGUACCCAACUUGAGUACCGGUACUCCAAAAGGCAAAUUGAGUGGGUAAGGGGCCUUUUGGUCAUUUUUGUUGGCGAUAAAUCCAAACCGACCCCCCAGCCUUCUCUCUUUGUGCAUGAUGUUGGAGAAAACAGGUUAGCUUCCCUCUUUCUCUCUCUAAUUUCUGCUCUCCGUUUCUUUGUGAUUUUGGAGAGUUGAUCUUAGUUUUCGUUCGCUUGUCUUUGGAGGUUUGCGCGUGCACUGUGGUUGAGUCUGGUUGAGGCCGUUGGAGGUCAAGUUAGCACGAGGUUUCUCCUAUCGACUUCUAGCCGACGUUGAACGAGCGUUCGGGGUGGGUUAGUGUUUACCGAAAUCGUCGGAUUUCCUUCUAAGUCAUAGAAUUGUCAGCAUAUAUUUUUGGCUUUGUACAUCAUGCUUAGUAGCUCGAAUUUAUAGAUUUGCAUGUUUUAUAUGAAAUCUGAAUUUGGAGCAUAAUUUAGUGAUUUUAGAUGAAGUUAUAUAUACCGAACUGAAAUUUGACUUAAGAGAAAACUCGUUAAACCUAUACUGUCACUUUUUGAAAGUUAACCGAAUUAGCUUCAGAAGCUGUUAUUCUUUUAUAUUACCGCUGUUAGUGCGUAGUAGAUAUUCAGGUUAGUGUAGGUUGACAUUACGCUCGUACUAGAGGGCCAAGCUCGUUUUACAGUAGCAUUUAGACUGUUUCGUACUGUCGGGUGUCGUCGGGGUUGACGGUGGACCCAGAUGUUUACAUCUUGUUCCAGAUUGUACCGAGAGCACGUGAGUUUUGGUUGUUAGACCAGUUUGUCCCAUUUGCAUUGACUAUAGCCUGUGUGAGGUUGAUUAAGCUCGGCAGAGACACGCUUGUAUACUCGGUUAGGUCGCGCCCACGAGUGCCGCUCCGGAGUGAGACUUUACUUACGUUGAUGUCGCAGCAGUCCUGUUUUGAUAGUGUACUUUGACCGGCCACCCCUAUGGAUGGUGUACGGUGUAGCUUGGCUACAGAUAGGGUGGAUCCGUUUGGGCAGCCCUUAUGAGAUUGGGUCAGUGUGAUGCAUGUCUAUGUCUACAGAUAGUGUACGGUGUAGCUUGGCUACAGAUAGGGUGGAUCCAUUUGGGCAGCCCUUGUGAGAUUGGGUUAGUGUGAUGCAUGUCUAUGUCUACAGAUAGUCUGUGUUGGUUAGUGAUAGUAUAGUGGCAUGUAGCUGUAGAGUUCUUUCCAAUUUUUCCUUACUAUCCUUUGCACAUAUUACUGUAGACUUAGUGGGUAGGCCGUUGGGGUCGGUGACGGUACCUACUGAGGACUACUCUGUUUUGUAGUAGUGCUUACACCCAGUUAUUGCUACCUCUUUGCAGAACCUUCGUCUGCGGCUGCUGCUGUUGCUGAUUCCGACCAUGGUAAGGGAGUUGCAAGCUAAAUCCCUUCCAUACCUGGUCUUUUGCUAGAGAAGCACCCAUCAGAGGUAGUUUUGUGGUUUUUCUAUAUACAUACUGUUAUGCUAAUGGUACUCGCUGGAGUGAGAUGGUUUUGUUAGCUUUUGUAUGUACAGUGGACCGUUUUAUGUUUUAUAUAUACAUGUUUCAGUUUUAGCAGUUCUGUAUUUUGGUUGUAGUUCCUAUUUGUACUAGGUAUAGCUAUCGCUUCGUGUACACGAAAACUUCCUAUGUAUACGAUGGGUCUGUUGGCAUGCCCGAAAAAACGUGAUAAUCCGGAGCGUGACAAUUAUUUAAAUAAUUUAAUAUUAAUUAGAUUAAUUAAUUAUUUAAAUAUAAUAAUUAGAUUAAUUAAUGCUUUAAAAUUAUUAAUUAGUGUUUAAUUAAUCUUGUUCUUGAUUGUUCUAGGGAUAAAGGUGGAACAACAAUUACAUGCUUCUAUCGGAUUAUAACAGCUUAUUUCAACUACAUAAGAACUACUAUUCCCGGGUACGAGAAAUAGCAUUCGGGUACCAAACCAACCAUGGUAUAGUGAAUAAGAGUGGAAUAGUUGUUCCACCUUUCUCCUGAAACAUGGUAGGAACAUUCUUAAUUAAAGUUUAAAUCUAAUUUUAAUUAUUAUAUUAAUUUAUUAAUUAAUCUAAUUGAUGUAUUUUAAGUUAUUAUCUAUUGCUUAAAUUGUUAAAUAAAUAAUUAAUCUAUUAUUUAUGGUUAAUUAGCCCAUUAAGAAUUAUUUAUUUAAUAUGUUUAUCUAAUAACUAAUAUUUAUAUUGGUCAACUAAUUAAAUUAAUUUCUCAAUAAAUUAUCUCACUAAUUAAAUAAUUUACUCAUUAAUUAAAAAGUUAAGUUAUAUUUUUUAUUUAAUUAAAAAAUUAAAUAAUUAAUAUAUUUUUCUGUUAUCCUAUAAAAUAUUCAUAGCUAAUAAAAUUUUAAUUUAUUAAAUUAUGUUCAAUUAAUAUUUUGAUAUUAAUUAAUUAGAUAAAAUAUUAUUAAUUUAAAAUAAUAAAUACUUUUAUUCCCACUAUUCCAAUCAAUAAUAAUUACUUUUAUUCCCGCAUUUCAUGAACAACUCAAUNUUUUUUUUUAUUAAAUUUAAAUAUUUUAUUUGUUACAAAUCUUUACUGAUCUACUUUUAUGGACUAGAACAUAAAUACCGAUUUUAAAUUUGAUAAAAUUAUUAAUAUAUUUAAUAUUUCAUUUACUUAACUCAAAAUUAUUUAAUUGUGAAAUUUAAAGUAGAGAGAGAAUGAACAUAAAAAUUUGAAGCUUCGACGUAACAUAACAUUAUAAAUUAUUAUUUUAGAAAAAUAACUUAAAAUUGGAUAUAAUUUUUUUUUUUCCUUUUUCGGCAGACAUGUUCCACUUUUUCUAUGGGUGCAGUGCCACAAGGAAUGUCAAUCCAGUUCACUGUUGGCAAGUCAUCUCAUACCCGAUUUGAAAUUUCUUCAAACUCGGCUCUUUGCUCAAAAAACUAGCAGCAAACUCACUUUUUUCAGCUCAAUAAAAAUAAAUUAAUAAUAAUACUAAUUAUAAUUAAUAUGAAUUUUUUAUUAAAAUUUAACUAAAGCUGGCUGGAAAUAAUUUUGAGCUGGGCUCGAAUUUAUUUCAAAUUGAAAACGAGCAGGACUAACCAGCUUGUUUUAAUUUCGAGCCAAACACGGGCGGGCCUAAAUUAUUUUAAAUUAUUUUCGAGCUGAUCUCAAGCUGGCCCAGCGCGAGGUGACUGCUCUAGUACCCAUCUUUUUGUAAGCUUUGUAAUUUUGUGCUUUAUGUUGGAAAUCAUAAUACAAAUUUAAUUAGAGUUUAACUUAAAAUUCUAUCAGAGAGAAAAAUUAUCGAUAAUUUAGAUUAGAUGAAUUUUAUUAGUUUAAAGUGUAUAAUUUAUGAUUUUAUUUUUUCCUUUCUGUCAAUAUCUCUCUUAACUCUCCGUUAAAUCAUAUACCAAAAAACUUUAGAUACCGUACCUAUGCUUUAUUGAAUAUCCACUUUAGUAUCUUGUGGUUUACCAAAUUUUUAUUUUGAUAUCCUGUGGUUUUCACUUUAUUAUUGAUAUAACGGAAAAAUUAAUGAAGCGGAUAAUAGAAGAAAAAAACGAAAUCACAAGAUACUAAAAUAAUAUAUUUUAAACCAUAAGAUAUUAAGGUGAGAAAGUGCAAAACUACAAGGGUAGUACUCAAAGUUUUUCUAUUAUUUUAUAUAUUUAGUCAUCUUGCUCUCCCAUUGUCUUUUUUAAUAUUAUUUUAUUUUAGUAUUUGAUUCUAGAUUAUAAAGUCGGUAUCAAAGCAAAUCAUGUUUCCAACAUUUGGUAUUAGUGCUAGGAAGCGCUAGACGACGACGGAGCUGAGAUCAUAGAGUUAUGAAGAGCUAAUCAGACUCGAACGGCAUCAGAGUUACGCUACGUCAAAGCCAGAUAGCUCGUAACUGAUCGGUGUCGCUCAAGUAAAACUGAAGCAAAAGAAUUGUCUUGAAGGAGUUGGCCUUCAUACAACACCUAAGAGUAGGUGGCUGUGAAACUUGAUGAAAAAAACGUGCUAGAAGAGAUCAUGAAAAAAAUCAAAGAAGAUUUGACCAUGUAGUAAGGGAGGGUAGGCAAGCAAGCCGAAGUACGAAGAACUUGGCGAGAUCUCUCAACAAUAAGAUAAAAACAUCAUCGUAUUAAAAGUUACAUGUUUGAAAUUUAAUUUUUAAAUUCUUUGAGUUCUGUUAUGAAUUUGGAUUGAUUUCUUCAACCUAGCUUAUCAAUGUUCAAUGGAACGAAUUUUAAGCGAUAAAUAAUCACUGUUCAAUAAUUUUUAGAAUUCCAAGAUUUAUGGAAUGUGGUGGAGAAUAGAAAUUAUGAGAAAGAAUUUAGUAACGACAAAAUAGUUCUUUCAUAUAUUUUUUAAGCAAUAGAUCUGUUGUUGAUUGAAAAAAUUUCAGUGAUAAAGACAGUACGAGAAGCAUGAAUAAUGCUAGCAAAAAUUAAAGGAGAAGUUUCUUAUUAAGAAGAUUAAAUUCAGGGAGAAUAAGAAAUUCAACUCAACAAUGAAGAUGUGGAAGCCCAUUCGAACGAUGGAUCCGAGAAGCUCAUACCUGGAAGAUGGCAGAUCACUUCGGGGUGAACAAAACCUUGAAAAAUCUUCAGCGCUAUGUCUAUUAGCCUCACGUGCAAAACGAUGCGGCAAGAUUUGUGAAGGGAUGUGUCUUGUGUUAUGUAUCUAAGCCUGCUAAUCGAAAGAUGGGCCUCUAUACCCCUCUUCCGGUGCCGACUCGUCCUUGGAAAAAUAUCUCCAUGGACUUCUUAGGAGGCCUCCCGAAAAUCCGACGGAGUCACGACUACCUUUACAUAGUGGUCAAUCGAUUCUCUAAUUAAGAUGAUAGUACCGAUGCUGUGCAAGAAGACAAUCACCGGUGAGGAAGCAGCGCGGUUGUUCUUCCAACAUGUUUGGACACAUUUUGGACUACCAACUUUGAUUGUGUCUGACUAUGACAGCCAUUUUUUAAGCAACUUUUGGCGAUCUUUGUGAUCCAUGAUGGAUACAAAGCUACAACAGAGCACGGCCUUCCAUUCUCAAAUCGAUGGUCAAACAGAAGUGGUCAACCGUAUAGUUGUACAUUUGCUGUAAGGAUAUAACGCUCGACAUCUCAAGACUUGGUACGAGAGCCUUCCAUACUUGCAGUUCGUGUUCAAUCGAGCUAUACACAGUUUCACUGGCCAGACUCCUUUUGAGGUGUGCUUGGGUUACUUACCAACAAGCCCAUUCGACUUGGUAUUCAUGGUCGAGCAACCGCAAACCACCAAGAAGAAAAAUGAAAUUGCAAAGGCCGGCAUUGCUUCUUGGAGAGCGUUCAGAAAAUGCAUAGCGAGGUGGAGCAACAACUACAAAAAUCUCAGUAGAAGUAUAAAGAACGACAUGAUCGACAUCGAGCUAAGGCAACUUUCGAGAGGGUGAUCUCGUCUGGCUCCAUCUCAACAAAGAGCGCUUGAAAGGUGAUGGUAGGAAACUUAAACCCAUUCGCUAUAUACCUUUCAAGAUUCUAAGCAAAAUUGGUGAGAAAUCUUAUCAAUUGGAGUUGUUCGCAUACAUGAAAAUAUACACGGUCAUCAAUGUUGAAAACCUAGAAUCCUUCGAGCCAUCAAUGCUGUACGAUGAGCCCGGAGAAAUGCUGCCAACUGUGGAAGAACUUUGGUAGAAUAUGAAGAGCCACUAGCUGAGGAUACUAUUCUGGAACGUAAAAUCACAAUGGCACGCAAAGGUGAACGUGAAUCCUUCCGUGUUAGACAAAAAGGUCAAAACCAAGUGCCGCUAAGUGGUUCACAAGAAAAACUAGGAAAACUCAGUUUACUUACUUAUAGUUCUAGAUCUAGUCAAAAUCAGGGAGCCAUGAUCCGAGAAGAUCAAACAUUCCGGAUAAGUUUCAACCAUUGCAGAUAAGGCAGAGGCCGUUCGAACUACUUCGGUUAGAAUAAGGAUCGAGGUGGUUUUAGUAGAUAUAAGGCGGAGACCGUUCUAACUACUUCGGUUAGGAUGGGGAUCGAGGUGGUUUCAAAAGAUUAAAAUUAGUCAAACAAAUUGGAUAAGAAUAGAUCCAAUUUGGAUAAGGAUAAAGAUAUUAUUUUGUUCUUAUCUUCUUAUAAGCCUGAAGAUUAUAAAUAGGGGUUUCACUUGCUCUUAUAAAGUCACUCCAGUUUAGAAAAAAUUAAUAUACAAACUUUUCCAUAUGAAAAAUAUUGUGUUCUUUUCUUUUUCUCUUUAAUCUGGUUUUAUAUAUCCAUCGGGGAGGAUUUGUGAUAUUGCUUCCUCCUCCGAUAGAUCACGAGAUGAUAUAAUACGAAAAACACAAUAAAUUAUCUUAAAAAAUAGUGAAGUACAUCAGAGAGUUUGCCGAGUUUGGUGUGUCCAUGGAUUGAAAACAUUAGCUGAAAAAUUGUUGAAUCCACAUGAAAACUCUUCAAAUCAGUUAAGAAAAUACCUCCAAUCGCUCUGAUUCUAUCAAAAAGUUGUCGAUUGAAGAGGAAAUCACAAGAUCUCAUCGCAAAUUCGAAAGGUUCCUCCACCGUUUGAGCUCAGGAUAGAUUGCCGAUUUAUUUAGAGAUCGGCGAAGAGGCGGCUGAGAAAGAAAGAGAGAGAAAGGGGAGGGGGAGAGAGAGAAAAAGAAAAGGAGAGAGAGGAGAGAUGUGAUUGGAAUAGUGUAGGAUCUUUGGAAGAUUUGAGAGAGAAUAAAAAAAUUUCGUACAUCAACAAAAAAGGAUAGGUGUAAAAAGCUAGGAGAUAAAAAAAUUAUAUUUUGUGGGGCCCAUAGUUCUGAAAUUAUGAAGAGCCCGAUUAAGAUUUCACUUUUGAAUGAAAUUGUGUAGAUAGUACCUUAAGAGCCUCAAAAUAUAUAUAUAUAUAUAUAUGAACUAAAAGAGAAAAAACUAUAUUUUGUGGGAUCCAUAGUUCCGAAAUUUUAGAGAGUCUGUCUGAGAUUCGCCCUUUAAUAGAAUUGUAUAGAUAGGAGGGCCCCACAAAAAAAAAAAAGGUUUAGGAGAGAAAAAAUUUUGUUUUGUGAAAUCCAUAGUCUCAAAAUUACAGAGAGCCUGGUUGACGGUUCAUAUUUUAAUGGAAUUGCAUAGAUAGUAUCAUGAGGGCUCCACAGUAAAAAAAAAAAAAAUGCUAGAAAAAAAUAAACAAAAACUAUGUUUUGAGGAACCUAUAGUUUCAAAAUUACGGAGGGCCGGUUGAGGGUUCGUCCUUUAAUAGAAUUGUAUAUAUAGAUUGGGUUAAUGGAGUCAUGUAAUUUUAUUUCUCAUCUUUAAAGGAUUUUGGAUGGCCCUUUUAUGAUUCUCCUAACGUGUUGUUGCUGCCAUUGUAUCAAGUCUUAAGAAUUUCCCUGAAAAUUUUGUACAUAGAAAAAAAAAAAUUAAAGAAAACUUUAAAACCUAUCUUUCGCUGUCACCAACUCUUCUGAGGAGUACUCCACCUUCUUUCUUCUAAUUCCAUUUUGUAUUUAUGUACACAAAAUUCGCCUUCCAAUUAUUUUCUGGAUUAUAAAUUUUGAAAUAUGUGACCAUCCAGUUGCCUUCCUCCCCUACAAUAUUAGGAUUAUAGCAAAAAUUAUUUCUUUUUUAUUUUGAGCACUAUCCAACACAAAGUACGAGUUAUCUAAUUAACUACGUGACUAAAACAACCAAUAAAUGGAAAACAUGCAAAAAAGAAAAAACAAAAUCCGCUGGGGUUCUAUUUCAUUAGGUAAUCUACAACAAAACAUGUGAAAAACAUCAUGUAACGUUUCGUAUUAAAUAGAAGCAAAUCAGUUACAUAAGUAAUAAUAAUCAGCAUAAACAUGUAAAAAAAUAUCGUCUAACAUAUUUUGUACUAAACAGAAACAAAAAGCCAAGAUACACACACUAACAAAACAAGAAACACCAAUCUCUCUCCUUUCUGAUCUAUUGGAUUAACUACAUUCGAACUUCGAAAAUUCAACCGUUCCUCGUGUUGCAACCCGCUGCGCUUUAAAGGACCGAAAACUGCAAAGGACCUUUUGAUAUUUUCUUCGUCGCUUCAGCAAAUAUUUUGUUCAGAUGUUCCACGAACACAUUGAUCAGUGUAAAGCUAAACCUUUUCUAGCUUAUCGCUUACAAGAGGGAUCAUCUCUGCCGGGCUCCUAGGAGUGCGAGGAGUACGGGGAGUCCUUGGAGUUCCGGGAACGGAAGAAGAAGAUGAAGACUGCUGCGAUAAGAGGUGCCUUACGUAGCCGUAGAAAGUGCAUCCCACAAGAGUCACCGUGCAUCCAAUAGCAUUCAUACCGGAUAUUGGGUUCCGGAAAAUAAGCCAUGACACCAAUAUUGCUACCGCAACCUACAUAACAUAUUGAAGAAAUUGGUGAGAAUUGUAAAGAAGGUAUUAGGUAAGUCCCUAAAGGUAUCAGCCAGAUUUCAUUUUUGAGAUACCCCAUUGCUUAGAUCGUAACACUUUACCACAGGAGAAUGUUCUUUAGUUGUUCGCAAGGAUUAGAAUCAAAAUAUUGUGGAAAUCCAACACUUUAUUUCUUCAACUUUCUUAUAUAGGGCAGCAAUUCCAUCCCUGAAGAUCGAAACGAUCUAAAUCUUUUUGGUAAAUUGACCGCUAAUCCCUUCCACCAUAAGAUUGAUUGCUUAUUAGGUUACCUGAAACAGGGCUAAAAAUGGUCUUUUGACAGUUAGGGAUGAAAUUGCUGUCACUUUAUCAGGACAGUACCGGAACUGUCCGUACAUUUUACUAUGACAUUGACCAAAUUAAAUCCUUAAUGAGCUACAUGAUUGUCACAUGCUAAAUUUUAUUGUGGCAUUUUUGCAAUUCAAGCGUUGAAAAUGAACUCACUUUGAGGUUGCCCGCGACAUUGAAGGUGACGGCAGUCGUUGAGUGUAUGACAUAAAAGAUGGAGAAGUUGAGACAAAAUGCCAACACCCCUGAGCUGAAAAUGAUGAAUAGUGAUGAAAAAACAGAAUCAUAUGUGUAGAACCAGUUGGUGACUCCGUUUCCUUCCAAUAAUACGGCUGGCACAGCGAGUAUCAUGGUUGCAAAGGGUGCCAUGUAGUAUACUGUGUUAAUACUGGAAAAGAGAGGAAAAAUUAGAUUCGUCUUAGCGAAGAAAGCCAAAAAAGACAGAUUUAACUGGAAUUUAUUAUCUAACCUACUCGGACAAAUUUUUUUGUAAGAAAAGCCACCAAGUUUUAUUAGAUGAAAAUUUUGCAAAUAAAACAAGUCUCUGCUUCUAGUUUUGUUGAUUUACAAGCAAACAUAAUUAGAAUUGUUAAUUUUAUCCUAAGAACAAUAAAUAAAAAUUUUCCAUGUGAAUCCAUUUGACAAACAAGCGACACAGAAAGUACAUAAAAAUCAAACUAAAGUUGGAUACUCCAGAAAAAGCUAUUGCAACAUUUGGACUUAUAUGAUGCAUCAUAUCACGAUUGAAUUAAUUUUGCGUGACAGCAAAAUAGCUCCUUUUCAAGGACUAGAAAAGAAAGAAUGAAAAAUUAUUACUAUUGCUCGAUAAAACAAAAUAGGAAAUUACGAUCAAUGUCCAGAGAAAGUGCGCAUAAAAGUAACAUGCCAACAUCAUCCUCACUGCUAAACAGAGAGAAAGUGAUCAUUUAUCAAAAAUCAAAAGAAAAGAUUUGCUACCUGUCAAAUUUAUAACCAUGAAGAAGUGACUCUGCUAGAAUAGUCUUUGUAGAUGUCGCCAAGCAGCCAAAUAGUGCAGCACAAAAACCAAAGAGAUUGAAGCUGAGCUCUGUUAUAGAGGUUAGAAGAAUUCCCCCAACAAUCGGUACCAAAGAAGCCCAUAUGCGCCACUCGAAAUAUUUUCUCCACACUAACCACUGAAGAACAACUGUUUUUGAAAGUAACAAGUCAGAAUAGACCCUAGACUCAAUGGAAAGAACCAAGCAGGUAGAAGGCUAAAUUGCAGGAAAACCCCUUAUAAUAAUAGUGAUGAUAACUUCACCCCGUGAAAUAUUGAACUCAUAUAUUAGAGCCUUUCAAGCAAUCAAUUUGCUCUUUUGCGAAUAGGGUAAAAUGUAUGAUUCAAUAUUCAUGGGGCAACAUAAAAUGUGCAAAACUAAUAAGGUGGAGUUUCAUACAAUUUAGCCAAAGAAAAAUGCCUGGAAAUGAAGCCAUGAAAACCUGUUGUUGCUGGAGUGAAUGAUUUAAUUGUCUGCAUGAAGGAGACUGGAAUGUAGCGCAAGCUCACGUUUCCCAAAACAAUGUUGAUGCAGAACACAAAAGACAUGGGAAAAAUCCUUCUCCAACGGUCCUCAGGAUCGACCUCAAUUAGUGGCUUCAAUUUGAGCACUUUGAUAACAACAUAAGCUCCAAUAGAAGAGCAUAUGAAGUGAACACAUGACACUGUGAGAGGAAACUUGAAGUCUAGUUUCUGCAUUCAAAGUUUCCUCUAAUGAUCACCGUGAUUACCGUAACAAGAUAUAAUAGUCUAAUGGAAAAUUCUCUUUCUAACUAUCUGAAAAGUUUGGAGAGAUUACGAGGGCAGAUAUUGUAAUUGACAGAGUAGAUACAUUGAAGUUAGUCAAGACUGCUAUAGGAAAAUUGACCAAGUUCAAUGUGGCUUACCAACAAAAAAUUCAGAUUUACUAAUAUCAUUACACAAUAGAAAAGUGUAAACAACUCUGAUCACAAAUCAUAUGGCAUGGAAAGUUUUAUUAAGUACGCUACCAUCACUGUUAUCACAAUUACUUGUUUACAUCAUAUUACUAAUCAUAGGUCUGUUUCUAAUUUCAUUUAUGCUCCUAGGAUUGGUACACUAAGGCUUCUUUUCCCUUUAAGAGUUUCUUCCUCAAUUUAUCACAAAGAUCCUCAUUAUAUGGAAUACAAAUCAAGUAAACGAAGCCAUAAAAUUUGAGAUAGAACAUGCUAAAAUGUUUACCAAACAAAAAGAAACAAUUAGACUUCAAAUUUUAAUGAUGCGAAAUCAUAAAAUUUUCAACUUGCUUUUCAUAAUGAAGCAAUUGAGAAAGAGUUUCAUUUAGAUUUUUUUCAUGACACCAAAAUCAAUAAGAAAUCAAUUGGCAAUAAUAAUUUCCCCGCAAUGUACUCCUAUGAAUUGUAACAAAUGAUUCCACGGGCACUUCCUGAUUCAUUCUUACUCAACAAGUAGAAUUGCACGAUUUGCAUUGAUCGAUAGAAAUGAACAUCAAAGGCAUCAACCAACCCAGUGUUUUGCGAACAAAUUUACUGUCGCCGACAUUAAGUGACUCAAGUUGUGGUGGCUCAAAGACUAUGACAGGUUACGAGUAAUUUUAAAAACAAUAAUUCAAGUUUCAGGUAGAAUUGAUCAGCCUAAUAUCAGAUGCGGGAUAGAACUGUUGUAUGGAUUUAUUAUGUUUUUUUUUCAAAAUUUAACUGCACUAAUUAUUCAGUAGCAAAAUGUUAGAAAUCUACGAAUUAUGACUCAAAUGGGUAGCUCAAAACCCUGCUAUUAACCUUUCGCCUAAGUCCCAGCACACCAAUUAUAAAAAAUAUUAGUAUCAUUUGAAAGAUGAGCCAAAUUUGUUCAAUUAUUGUUCAAAUAAAAAAAAAGCUGAAAAACAAACAUUUUUGUUCUUUUCUUUUUUUUGGCAAAUCCAUUCAUAUUUGAUAGGCUGAAAAAAAAAAAGAAGAAGAAAACCUUUUUUCACCAAAAAAAAAAAAAGAAAAGAAAAAGAACAAAAUACAUUGACCAAUUUCAUAAUCAGAUCAUCAUCAAAAAACAAAAAUUGAACAAUCCAAACCCAGAUAACCUAAUUGGCGAAGUCAAUGAUGCAUCUAGGAAACAGAUCAUCCAAUUUAAGGAAAAAAGGGUAAAAUCAUAACUUUUUUCUUCAAAAAAAAAAAAAAGGAAAAAAAUAAAAGAAUGGACGAAAGGUAUACAUAAAUAAAUUAAUUAAACUAAACCUGGAAGAUCCACUUGUUCAUAAUGAUUACGGUGACGUUAAAUCCCCACCACUGCAAAAUGGCGAGGAUCGCACGGAACGUUCCCUCACUCCCCAUCUUACUCUCCUCCAUCUCCAACCCCCGAAGGGAACAAAAGCCCUAACCCUUACCCUAACUUCGAACCCCCACAAUCAAUUCCCCUCAAGAGCAGCGCGAUCGAAACCGCCGAAGCUCUAGGGUUUCAUAUUUAAAGCUCCCACCAUUUCGAUCCGGACCACAAUGCCCAGAUCUCGCAAUUAACCCCCUCGCAGCUAAAACGCUUCUCCUCUCUCUCUCUCUCCCCCUUUGACUCUAGCGAGAGAGAGAGAAGGAGAUGGAGAGGGGUGGAGGUGUAAUAACAAUAAGAGGUGAGGGGGGGAAGAGGAGGGAGCAGGGAGAGGUCGCAUAAAGAUUCAGAUGGUGCGGACAUCCGCAUGCGAGCAUGUGGGAGAGGGAAGGGGACGGAAUUUGAUUGUUUUAUGCGGAGAAUGGAAGUUACCAAGGAUUAAAGCAAAAAAGAAAACUACUCCAUGCUCCUGCAAUGGUAGUGAUUUUUAUCACGGGGGAUUUUGCUUAUUUACUUCUCUAUUACCGCUCAAAAAAUUUAAAUUUAUUCUAAGUAAUUCUUAUUUAUUACCCCAACCAAAUAAAGUCUAAGUAAAUGCUAAGAAUUUAAAAAUAUUUGAAGAAAAUUUUAAAAUUAAAUAAGAAUAUUUUGGUCAACCAAAAAUAUAUUAGAUAUUUUUAAAAUUUUGUAAGGAUAUAUCUGAUACUAUUCUUUUAUCAUAAAUCAUAGUCAUCAAUUUUAUAUUACUUGAGAAAUUUUUUUUAAAAGCGUCACAGCACGAAAAAAUAGUGUUUAUACUUUUUAGGCCAUCCGUUUCCAAACUAGGCUUUAAAAGGUGAGUAGGGUCCUUUACUUACUUAUAAUGAAGGACAUCGUUGUUGAUCAUAAAUUUUGGCAGACACAAUUAAGACUAUUUAGAUAGAUCUUUGCAGGAAUCGAAUUUUAUAAUUCGACGGCAUAAUUUACAAAGUACUAAUCAAGUGGUCUAAAACUUCAUUUUGUAGUAACCAUUGAAAUUAUUAUUUUUAAAGGUUACUUGAAUGAAUACUAAUCAAUUAAUGCUUCAAAAAUUAAGAAAUACAGUUCGGAAAAGAUUUACAUAAAUAGUUCAGAUCAAGUUUAACAGCGUAGCGUCGAUUGUUAACUUGGCUGCUUCAUUAUAAAAUAUGAGGUAGAAGUAAACGUCUAUAUCUACUUUUAAAAGUAUUAUAAUUAUAAUAUAAUUUUAUUUGUAUGGAAGAUAGGAAAAAAACUACCCUUGUACUUUGAACUUCUAACCAAGUUUUAGUUUGAUUCUUAAACUUUUAAAUUCAAUAUUAGAGACUCUUGACUCUUUUAAAGGUUUUACUAAUUGUUAUAAAUAUUUACACUACAACAAAACUGAGAUAUAGGGACACAUUUCUGGGACACUUUUGUGUAAGUGUCCCAGUUAUGUCUAAAACCUUCUAACAAAAAUCCACCUAAGGCCCGGCCCAAAUAUAAAGCCCAAUCUUACUCCUACUCCCACCCAUCCCAUUGUCAAAAACCUAAUUAAAAGUCCAACCCAAUUACCAAAAAAAAAAAGUAAAAAAANUAAAAAAAGUGUUGCUAUAAUAUUAUUUUGUAUCACUUUUAUGUGCUGCUAAAAGCUUAAAUAAGUGUCGGUAUAUUAGUAGCACUUUUUUUAAGUUAUACCGACACUCUUAAAAAGUGUCACUAUAUACCUAGCGACGCCACAUAUAGCAACACUUUUUAAAAGUGUCGGUAAUUUAGCCAGCAGCACUUUUUCUGACCUGUACCGACACUUAAAAGUGUCGCUAUAUGCCGUUUUUGUUGUAGUGUUACUACUAGAAGAUCAAUAACUACUUAUAUUUAUAUAUAUUAUAUAUAUUUAUUUGCCUUUAAUUAUUCAUGUCAUAUUUCAAUACUAUAACUCAUUGAAUCACAAUUUAUCUAUUUAUGUAAUUGUUGAUGCCAAAAUUAAAAUUAACACGCCAGCCUAACCCACAUAUGAGUUAGAGAAAUAAGGAUAUGUGGUACACCAGGAGUCGGCAAUAGGGCGCUUGAAGGUCAAGAGCGUUUAGGCAGGAACGGUUGAUAAGUGGGGCGUAACUUCCAUGUGAAGUGAGGCGUAACUUCCAUAAGAAGUGGGGCGUAACUGUCAUGAUCAUGGCUACACCACUUCCCCCACUACUAUAACCAACCAAUAAUAUAGGCUGAUAAGAUAUUAUAAAUAGUAACUUUGAAGCCUGUAAUAAGGGUCUUUCUCUCCCCCGAACGAGAAGACAACCGUAUUUUCAAUACUUUCCUUUUCUACAUUUAUCGCUUUCUAGAAGCAGUCUACAUGUAAUUUUUUUUUACCCGCAUUUAUUGCUUUCUUAGGAGUAGUUUUUAAGUUAAAUCUCUGGAGUCUGUAUGCCCCACGAGCACACUUUGUUGUAAUCUAAAUUUUCAAAAUAUGUAUGCCCUUCGGGCACACUCUGUUUUGUAUGAGUUCCUAACUUCAUUUUAAUAUAUAAAGGCAUUCAGCUCUUUCAGCCGACCGGUCACUGUGUAUUCCAUCUAUUCGGCUCAUCAACCGAUCCAAAAUCCUUUAUUUUUCGUACAUUCGGCUCUUCCAGCCGAACCGAGUCUAUAGUAAAGGUCUUCGAAUUCGGCUGAUACGAUCUCUCAUCAGCUCAAUCGCUUGAUCCAGUUGAAGGGCGCAAACUUCGAGGGUCACUAAUCGUAGCCGUUCCGCAUUCCUACACUCUUUCCGAGAGAGAUCUUUGACCGAGUUAAGGAUCAGGGCAUUCGGCUCCCAACAGUAGUAUCCCUGUUGUUUGGUUGCCAGUAAGAUUUUCAGCAUCUGAGACUUGUCGACACAUCUGGAGAGUGUCAGGACAAGUCAGAGUCGUUUUGGGUGAAAUGGACGCAAAACAGACUCAGUGCGACGUGAGAGCAGUGUAUUGACAUUGGAAUCUGCAAAGUGUAGGUUUUCAGUGCUGAGUAUUGGUACCAUGCAAGGGAGAACCGGUACCCCAGUCUAUUUUCAGAACAGUCUGCUCUCGGGUUGUGCCAAUUGAUGCUAAGUACCGAUACGGCAUCGGGCUGGUACCGGUACCUUGUGUGCGAGCUUGCGGGCUGAGAUACGGAGUACCGGUAACCAAAUCGGGUAUCGGUACUCCAGCUGGAUUUUUGAGUAGGUAAAGGGUAUUUUGGGCAGAAAUGUGUCAUUACCCUCAACCUUAUCCCCACCGCUUUAUAUAUGUGUAGAGAGGCAGAGAGUGAGUUUUGGUUCCUGCUUCCUCUCUCUCUCUAGUGUUUGAUCGUGUGCUUGGUGGAGGCUAUGGCUCGAGCUCGGGUCGACUUCGACGUUGCGCCAAGGAGUCGUUCGAGCGCAUAGGCGUCGCGGUUGCACCGUUGGAGGCCGGGCGAGCGCGUGAUUUCCUCGUCUUUCGACUUCUCGCCAUUGUUGGACGAGCUUUUUGAGCUGGGUUGAAGUUUACAGAAAUCGUCGGAUUUCCUCCUAAGCCUAGAUUUUUGUCAGCAUGUAAACUUCCUGUGUUGUAUCAUGUUAGUAGCUCAAUACACCGAUUUGCAUUGCUUUAAUGAAAUCCGAGUUGGAGCUGUGAAUUCUAGAUUCGUUUUAUAUGUUGGAUUUGGAAAUUGACUUAGGAGAAAACUAUUGAACCCUACACUGUCAUUUUCUGAAAAUUACCAAAUUUAGCUUUAGGAGCUGUGGUUAUUUUGUAUCGUCGCUGUCAGUAUGCGAUGGAUACCUAGAUUAGUGUAGGAUGAGUUUACGCUCGUGCUGGGAUGCCAAAUUUAUUUUUACAGUAGAGUAUAGACUGUUUCAGACUGUCGGGUGCCGUCGCGGUUGACGGUGAACCCAGAUUUCUGUUUUGCAUCAGAUUGUGCCAAGGGCACGUGAACUUUGGUUGUUAGACCAGUUAGACUCAUUUACUUUAAUUAUAGCCUAUGAGAGCCUGAUUGAGCUCGACAGAGAUACGCUUGCAUACUCGGUUGGGUAGCGCCCACGAGUGCCACUCCGGAGUCGGGCUUUAUGCGUUUGCGUUGAUGUCGUAGUGUCCUGGUAGGACUUGCUCUCCACCAACAACCCAGCGUGGCGGUGGUUGGUGUAGUUUCGACAGGUAGACGGGUGUGUUCACAGUCCCUAGUGAGAUUGGGUCAGAGAUUGCAGCUUGCUUACAUCUACAGAUAGCUAGUGUUGGUUAACGAUAGUAUAGUGGCAUAUAGCUAUAGAGUUUUACCAGCUUCCUUUACUAUCCUUCUGCAUACUUUCUGUAGACUUAGUGGGUAGGCCGUUGAGGUCGGUGGCGGUACCCACUGAGGACUACUUCUUUUUGCAAUAGUUCUCACACCCAGUUGUUGACCCCUUUUUGCAGAGCCUUCUUCUGCGGCUGCUGCUGUCGCCGAUUCUGAUCGAGAAAAGGGAGUCGCGAGCUAGAUCCCUUCCCUGGUUAUAGUGCUAGAGAAGUACCUCCCAAAGGUACUUUUGGGGUUUUUAUUUACAUAUGGUUGUUGUCUGGGUACUCGCUCGAGCGAGUGGUGUAGUAGACAUUUUGUAUGUACUGAACUCUCGAGAUUUAUAUAUAUAUAUAUGUUUUCAGUUUAACAGCUCAUUACCUUGUGGUUGUAGUUUGAUUUAUUUAUAGGUACAGCUAUCGCUUCGUUUACAGGAAGAAUUUCUAUGUAUACGGCGGGUCUUUUGACGUGCCCAGAGAAACGUGUAAUCCGGAGCGUGACAAUUUAUAAAUCAGAUAUUUGAUGUAAGGGUGCCUUUCACUCCUGCUAUGUUAUUUAGAUUUUUAAAAAUUUUGUAAAUAUAUUUUGCAUAAUUGAGUAAUUUUGUUUAGUAAUUUGGUUAGGAAUCCUUCGUUCGGAAAGAAAUGAGAUAACUCUAAAAAGGAAUAAUUUUAUUAACGAGAGAGAUGGGGUGAAUAUCUCACAUUUUUUUAAAAGGCUUGUUUGAUUCAUAAUAUAUUUUUUGUAAGAUGUUUAGAAAUUCAAAUCGGAAAUUGAGAAUUCUCAUGUUUGGUUUCUGCAUUUAUCCGAUAUAGCGGAUUUUUGUGAUUUUUAUGACAUCUUCUAAUUAUAUAUGCAAAGCAUGAAAAUUCAAAGCCUAUAUACCUCCUCUCGUGAUAUUUCAUUUUUAUCAUGAAAAUUUGGUUUUAACAUACUAAAAUAGCCCUUUCAAAUUUUAAUAUUUAUUAUCCUAUUCACUAUAAAAUAAGGUGUAAGGACUGAGAUUUUAACAGUGCAACUAAACUCUCUGUUGACGAUGUUUAUGUGUGUAAUUUAAUUACAUAAGCACUCGUCAAGUUUUAGGAGAAAAUGAGCUAGAAUGGAGAAGUUACGCGAUUAUCAGUUUUCACUUAAAGUGAAUAGUAACCCGAUUUUUCGGAGAAGCAACGGAGUAGAGUUGGCUUUCGGCGCGUAUCGGACUCCGUUCAUAGCGAUCCAAUAGCUCGUUUUGAUCAGUUCAGCUAUUUUGGAACCAAUGGCACUGACGGAUUUCAGAUCUGAUGCACGGUUUUUGAGAAAUAGGAGUUUUAUCAAAAAUAGGGUUUUCAUUCUUUGCUGUUAUUGCAUAAUAAGACUCCUCGUGCUCUGUGUUUGUGACCUAGAGUAAGGUGAGGGAUGUUACAUGUACCUACUAGUGGUAGGAGAUUCAAAUUUUGAAAUUGAAUCUAGGAUUUAGUGGGAUUACACAUUGGUAUAGUUGUGUGGUUUUUGGAAAUUGGAGAGCGGACGGGUUUCGUCGCGAAUCCGUGACCGAUCGAUGCGAACCAAAUCGUAGGUUUAUUGUCUCCGUUGUGCUGAUCGCACUAGUGCGAUCCGUUCGCAAAUCUGACCGACGGAUCUGCGGAUAUCGCACGUGGUUCGAGGAGGGGUCUUAGAUGGCAAAUUGGUAUUUUUGCGAAAGGUACGACAUUUUAUGUACCGUUUCACGUGAGAUCGCACAUGGGGGUAUAUGCGCGCGUUUUACUCAUGCUGUGGAGGACCCAGUUUGAAAUUCUGAUUUUUGGUGGACUUAUUUGCAAUUCUGCACCAAGUAUUUAUGGUUGCAUUAGGGUUUUCCACUUGAAGCCCUAACCUAGCCCUAGCCGCACCCCCAGCCACCUUCACCCUGCUCCCCUGCCCUAGUCGCGUGCCUUCCGGUCGCCGCUGACCAAGUCCGGCCGGUCGGCCGCCGCCGCAUCACCUUUUUCUCCUCUCUCUCUCUCUCUCUCUCUCUCUUCUCUCGGGUUGAGAGGAGGCCCGAGACUGGGUUGCCUCCAGGCUCUGCCCCAGCGUCGCCCUGACCCCAUCGGAGCUUCCCCCGGUCGGUCGCUGCCGCCUGCCACCGUCGCCUACGCCGCCGCUGCUGGUUCUGCAGCCUGCGGCCACCCCAGCCCGAGCCCGGGCUGAGGCAGGUAUGCGACCUCUUCCCUGCGUCGCCACCACCUUGGGCCACCCCGUGGCACCCCCUCCGACCUCGGGUUGUCGGUCUCCACCUCCCCGAGCCGUCCCGAGCGCCGCCGCCGCGCUGCAGCCGCCUGGCGGGUUCCCUGGGCAAGCUCGGUUCGAGCCGAGCUCGCAAUUCCUUCCCUGCAUCGCCGCCGCUCGGGGCCGCACCCGAGGUACUCCUCCGGCCUCUGGGGACCUGCCGCCGUCGCCCCUGAGCGCCCCGGCCGCCGCCGUGGCCGCAACUGCCCUCGGAACCCGAGCCGGAUCUUGUGCGGGCUUGGUUCUCUCCUCCGCCGCCGCCGCCGCUUCCAGCCGCCACCUGAGGUGAGCACCGUAUUCCUCACCUCUCCCGCACCCAUCCCUGGCCCCCGCGCGCGCUGCCGUGCCACCGGAAGCCGGCCGGAGCAAGCUUGUUCCGGCCAAGCCCGAAAUAGGCUUUUUAGGGAGUGGGUUACCGUUUUGUGUUUUCCAAGGCUUCUCGACCUCUGCGGAAGGGAGCAAGAUGAUCACGACUCAUCGCUGAUCACCGUGCUCACCUUGGUUUCUAUCGGAAAGGCCCCGAUCCACUGUUUCGGUGAUGUUGCGCCGUUUGAGCCUUUUUGGCUACUAUUUUUGGAUUGCGUGCGUUGUUCCGGCGAACCAAGGCUGUCCUGAUGCCUCCGGAGGUGAGCAUGGUGAUUGUUGGUCAGUACCGAUCACAAUGCUCACCUUACAUUGGAUCAACGGAUGUCGUAUAGUCCUGUUUGGCACAGUUUUCCCCGACUACGCGCUGUUUCGCUGAUUUUUGCGUCGCUCGUGCGCGUGGCACAGUGGCCGGCAGUGCUCCGAAAGGUGAGCACGGCCUCCGGCACGCCGAGACCUGUCAGCGGGUGACUCGGCUUGGCGGAUUGACAUCUGGUUUGUGUAGACGGACCAUAAAAGCGCCAAAAUCACAUAAAAUAAUGUGAUUUCGGGUAUUCGGGUGGGUUUUUAUGCAUCUUGGUUCGUCGUAGCUGCUGUUGGCAGCAAGUGUAGGCUGAGGAUAACCUCUGGACUGAUCGUCCAAGGCCCAAGCCUUUGCGAAAAUCGAAAAGUGAUUUUAGGCGCAUUUCUCGGCGAAAUACGCUGACGAAACGCGGGUUCGAAUCGGAAUUCUUCCGACGGUGCUUCGUGAGCUAUUGUGUAGUCGCUGAGCCUUGUUGGCUGGUCACUCGCGUCAUGCGUCAUUUCGAGAGUUCAGAAAUGACGGGUGAGCGACGGUGAGUUCCGGAGUCGAAAUUGACACUUUCGGAACCCCGGAUCGGAACGAAUAUCCGACGAUAAUUAUUUCGACGUUAGGAGUUGUGUUUGCUGCCAUGAUGCACGAUUAUUUAUGUUUAGUGAAAGUGAGUGACUCAUAGCACGAGUCGGUGUGUUACAGGAUAGUUCGUGGGUCCCGACGGAGUCCCGGUGAAAUUUCGGGACUUCCGGCGAGUUACGGUAGUCGGUUUUGGGAAACCGACCUCCGUGGGAUUAUUGGUGGGAAUUGUGAUUUAUUUUUGUUAGUUGUGGGUUAUAUAUUAACCCAGUUGACACUCCGUAGGUCCGGUUGACAUUCUUUCGCAGUCAGGAGACAGGCGCGACAUCCUUGCAGGUGGGUACUUCGAUCCGAAGUCGGUACAGUGGUGCACGCUCGGUGAUAUCCUUCUAUCCCUGUUCUUUUGUUAUUACUAUUGCGUAGUAUAGCUUAUUGAGCCUUGCACCCCUAUUGUUUACAUCAUACUCUACUCGCUGUUUGCAUGAUUAGUAUCCCGAGUAGAAGUAGAGUAGUUAUACCAUGUUUCCUUGUUGCUCUACUUAGCUAUUCUGUAUAUCCUGUUUCAUGUUUAGAGUAGAGCGGUUUCGUGAUUUCUUGUGAGAUUGGUGACCUAGUCGGUCGAUACUUGACUUCUGUCGUUUGAUGACCUUUGCGGUCGGUGUACCCUGAGGGGUAGGAUUGUCGGCUAAUGGCUGACGGUAAUUCUAGAUUAUACACUCAGAUAACUUGUUGAUCGAUUCUUGCAUAUAUACAGUAGUUGACUUAUUGAUCAAUAUUUUCAUGCUUUUGGUAGGAUGUUGAGUUGUUCCAUCCUAGUUGACCUGAGUUGUCGAUUCUUUUACUUCCUUACAGUGGAUGACCUUUUGGUCGGUUAGCCCCGAGGGGCGGUGAUUGUCGGCUGGUUGCCGACGGUUAGCCUUUGAGCAUAUCAGCAUUGAUUGCUCGACUCGUUCGCAUUUCACGAACACCAGCGGUCUGAUCCACCGCGGCUGGGUGUUCUUUUCCGGAAAAGUGGUUGCAGGUGCCAACCCGUGAGCCCAGCGGUCAGGACUGGGUUAUAUGCAGGUAGAGUGGUAGUGGGCUUUUGCCUGAGGUCCUUAGACCAACACGGCGGUUUAGAUUGGGUAUUUUUGCACUUCUUGUCCGGUUGACGCAUAUAGCUAUAGUAGCGGUUGUUGCUUGUAUACCUUCAGUUCUUUCGUUACAUUGUCUUGCUACUAUAGUUUUGUUGCAUGUAUACAUUCAGUUGUUCAUUACAGUAGCGGUAGUUGUACUUUCAUUUAUAUAUGUCUCUUUCGUUCAUUAUUAUUGCUACUGUAUUUCCACUGACCCGUACUGUUGUUUAGCUCUUCCUGAUCCGGUGAGUUGUGAGGAAGUGAAUCUCGAAAUUCGAGGAUUGUACUUCAUCCAGGAUCGACUGAUUGUCGAGAGAAUAUCCCUUUGUGGGAGUUGAGAAUGUCCAAAACACAAAAAGUGCUUUGGAGUUGAGUCCGCGAGAGCUAAUAAUGCAAACGGCACCAUUGGGCUGAAGUUGCUCUCGGGGACCGGUCUCUGCAGGUGAGAGACCGGUUCCCUCGGCUGGGUGUUGCGGGGUCGCAUGAUGCAACCGGUCCCCGGUAGGGAGGGAUCAGUUCCUGAACGUGGUCCUAGCGAGAAUUACCAAAAAAUUGGCUAAGUCCUAAGAACCCAGCUCUCGGGGACCGGUCUCUCAGGCGAAGACCGGUCUCCCGAGGACCGGUCUCCCGAGGAGAGACCGGUUCCCGAACGUGUGCGCCCGAGGGAAGCUCUCGGGGACCGGUCCCAAGUCGGGGAGACCGGUCCUUCCGCGCGAGAACUGCCCAGUAAGGGCAGUGCACAGGAGUGAAAGUUGAGGGGCUUUUAUGCAAAAUGGCUUUUAUUUGAGUGGGCUGAGCCCUCUCUCUCCCUCAUACUCUCAUUCUCUCUCCCUCACUCUCAUUUCUCUCUUGCUCCUUCUCUCUCUCUAGAAAGGAAAGAAGGAGAAGAAGAACAAGAAGGAGAGGAAGGAAAAGAAGAGGAAGAUAAGGAAGGAGAAGAAGAAGGAGAUCAAGAGGAAGGCUUUGAGCACCUCCAUCUCCCUCUCCUCUUCCCAUUGGUGUAGCUCUUGAGGUAAGCUACUAAACCCUAGCUUUGUAAACUUAGGGUUUUGGGUUUUUAUGCUUUGGCAUGGGUCAAAUGGACCUCAAGCAUGCUUCUAAGUAGAUCAAUCCCAUGAACCUAAGAUUCUAUUGGUGGUUUGCUAUAUGUGCAGCCUAGGGCUCAAAAUGGGGGCAUUUUGUAAAGUAUGAGAUUGAUCUCAUUUGAGGCUUUGUAAACCUCAUCGAUAGGUGCCCAAACGCGGGGGCGAAGUCGAUUUCGUGAUUCGUCGAGCGGGCUUGGAGCUAUCGGCGAAUUACGGUCGUUACGGCGUUAUCUUGGACCAAGGGAGGCUAAAGCCUUUUCGUAAAGCUCGCCGAGGAGCGUUUCUAGAACCUCUACAUUGGUAAAAGGUGGGGGGUGCCAUCCGAAGCUUUCGGACUCCUUUCUAUGUCUUAGAAUUGCAUUUAAUCUCAUCUCUUCAUGUUGCAUUGUAGGAUUGCAUAGUAGCUCCUUUCCUUAUGCUUUCUAAAUGACAACCUAGUGUACUUGGAACGCUUGGUAACUUGGAUAGGUGAGGAUUGGGUCGGAACGUGGAUCCUAUGAUGCGAAGGAUAGAGAUGAAUCCGAUGGGGGUGUUGAUGACAUAGAAAAUAUUGUUAAUGUUAAAGAACAAACGAGUGGCAUCCAAACAUUGAAUGAUGACGAGUGGCAUUAAGUAAUGUAUAUGACACUAGAGGUUUGAGAACAUAGGGAUAGAUGGAUCCCUUAGAAAAUGCCUUGUGAACAAUGAAUUUAGACAAGCUAAAUAGCAUCGCAUGAAUGCUGGGAAUAAAUGAACCCGCGAGAGAUGUUGACUCUAGUUAGAGCAUCCUCACUUGGAGAGGAUUUGAUUGGGUUGUUGACCCUAGUGGUAGUGUAUCCUCACUUGGAAAGGAUAGAUCUAGCUCACAGUCUGCGUUUGGGAUGGUAUAGCCAUCCGAUCCCCACAUGGAGGGGAUUGUCGUCGAGUACUCCGGAGUGUCGCGUGACUAGGACCACUUGGAGGUCCGGACCACAUGGAGGUCCGCAGACGGUCCCGGGCUUGGGUGCACUUGGAGUUCCCUCCCCACUUUGGGAUUGUAAGGUGAGUCAUUGGCGAGCCCUAGGGCCUCGCCACAGAUUGGGUAAAUGGAAAAGUUAAAGGUUAAAUAAUGUCAUUGAACAUUGCUAAUCGAACAUGGAUCGAACUUGUUAGCAUGGUAGCAAACCUUAUUUAUAUGAUGCAUGCAUUCAUAUUUAUGAUUAUGGGCAUAAUAGCAUAGUGUUUCCUAUUAUUGCAUUUACAGCUUUCAGAUACAUAUCUAUCUAUCCGUUGUUACUUGUGCCCACUUGGACCUAGUGGGGAGAUCGGCAGAGUCGGCGGCCGAGCCCACUGGGAACUAUGGAAGAUAGUUCUCACCCCACUCUAUUUCCAGUGGUAGGUACAGGGUUACCGAGAGAGGACCGCGGCAAGGGCAUCGCGCCCGAUCAGUGAGACCGUGGUAGUAUAGUAGCUUUCCUUUUGCAUUAGCACACCUAUGUAUUGAGAGAGAUUCAUGUAGGUGAGAUUGGAGAGCUAUGUAUUUUGAGGAUCAAAUGUAUUCAUUUUGGAAAUGAUGUAAAUGUAAAAAUGCAACUAUUGUAAUAGUUAGUAAAGUACUCCCUUUAUUUCACUCGUAUAUCUUGUGGAUUACUUACUCUUCUUGUUGUUGGCACUGUUUGUGCCCUCGUUGAAUGUGUAUGUUUAGAAUUUAAAGUCCUGGGUAAAUUCUUGUACACAUUCCUGUUGUUGAGCCUUGGGCGGACAGGAGAGGUGCUGUCCGUUCGGCGGCCCGUCGCCGCGGUCGAACCGUGCCAAAUUGGUAGUGGUUUCGGGGCGGGGCGUGACAGUCCUUUGUGGUAUCAGAGCAACAAGAGCAAGUAAAGAGGGAAAGUCUAGGAUGAUCUAGGAGACCCUAGGUUGAUAAGUCCUAAGGUUAUAGGUGCGUGAGCGGAAUGUGAACCUAUAGCGAUGGCGGAAGUUAAUUCGAUUGGGUCGAAGUUGGUAAUGUGUCUCUAGUGGUGAUUAGAGACGGACUCAAGUUGUAUGAGUUCUUGUCUCGAGGUGGUUGUGUUGGCGGCCGACGACAUGAUACCAAGAGCCUAGAACGAGUGCACUUGUGUGCUUCCGCCCGAUUUCAUUGUUGAGUCGUCAUGUGACGUAAUUGCGAAGAGGCAAUUGGUUAAGAUAACUGACCAAGCUGCGUUGCAGGGACUAAUGUCUCCAAGAUGCUACACGCGUAGAUCUGCCCCAGCGCCGAUUCCGGAGGUGCCCGAGCAGGAGCAACCGAGCGUGAUCGACCGGUUGCAAGCGCAAGUAACCGCGCUGACCAAUGUGGUGGAGCGCCAAGAGACCCGAUUCGAGCGGCUCCAGGAUCUAUUGGAGCGGCAGAUGGCGGUUGCGGCUGCGACGGCGAAUGAGGGCGGUGUGAAAGUUUUGGGGUGCCUAAGGAUCUAUCUAGAUUGUAUCUAUCACCUAGAGGGGGGUGAAUAGGUGUAACGGCCAAAAACCACAAAUCUCGAUGCAAUAAAAAUAAAUGCGGAAAAUAAAAAGCACAUCGAGAUUUACGUGGGAAAACUCCAACUUGGAGAAAAAUCCACGGGACCAACACGCGUAAAAAUAAUUCACUAAGAGAAAAGAUUACAAGGUGAUUACCGACUCCACGGACUCAACCUCUCUUAACCUCCUAUGAAUCUUCGCGCUACCCUCCGGGUUGUCCACGCCCUCACGUCCGAAUCCACGAACGCCUCCACUUCGAAUCCACGAAGCUUCAAUCACGCCGAAUCCACGACGCCACUCGAAUCCACGAGCCCACGAUCCGAAUCCACGAACCGCCGUCAAAUACGCCGAAUCCACGACGCCACCAUGAAGAAUAUCAUGAAUAUGGUGAUCCUUCGCUUUGGAGUAUCGUAGAAAACCAGGGAAUAGAACUCCAAGCGAAGCGGAGAUCAAAUCGACAUAUUAAUAUCAAAUUUCAAUAUAUCGAUUUGAUCUAAAAUAGGCUUUUUGUAGAAAAUAGGUUUUAGAUGAAAUCCGAGCCUCUAGGGUUUCUCAAAUAUGUAUUUUCGUGAUGCUUAUGAUCCUCAAUCAGUUAGAGAACCCCAAUAGCUUAUUUAUAGACUUUAGAAUCAAAACGGAGUAGGAUUAGAAAGUUUCUUUCCAAAAUCAGCACCUUGUACCGGAACAAGGAAAGCUGCCAGGGUACAGCAUGACGGAAGAAUUUUCUGCGAAGCUUCUGUGUCCGUGGAGUCGGUAAUCACCUUGUAAUCUUUUCUCUUAGUGAAUUAUUUUUUCGCGUGUUGGUCCCGUGGGUUUUUCUCCAAAUUGGAGUUUUUCCAUGUAAAUCUCGGUGUGCUUUUUAUUUUUCGCAUUUAUUUUUAUUGCAUCGAGAUUUGUGGUUUUUGGCCGUUACACCUAUUCACCCACCCCUAGGUGAUAGAUACAAUCUAGAUACAUCCUUGGGCACCCCAAAACUUUCAGUAGUGUCCACAUGCAUUCCUAAGAUCUCUCCAAUAUCAUAGGGGGUAACAGGAAAUCUCUUCUGUCGAACAAUAGUCUCAAAAAUAAAAGUGCCCGUUUCAUCAUCUUCAACAAGUACCUUUCCAUUCAUAUAGAACUCCCGAAUAAGUUCUACACAGAAAGGAGCCUUGGCAGGGACCCGUCCAACAGGCUCAAUAGGUGCACGCUGUAGCAGUCGUCCAAAAUCAGGAACAUCCCGAAUCAGAUCAUUGAAGUUCACAAAGCGUUCAGCUAUGCACGACUUUGAUGCAAACAACCUUCGCCGUGCUGGAGGGAUAUCCGCAGCUUGUUUUGUACGUCCCUCACGAGUACGAGAACCACCACCAUGAGAUGAUUCGCCAGCUAUUCCUUUGCCUUUGUCAAGUCGAGCAAUAGGUUCUUCAGAUUCUUCCAGGGAGCUCGCCUGAUAAUACGGAUCAGACCCGGACGCUUCUUCAGUUGUUCGUGUCCUUUUAGAAGCCCCAUGACGACCUCUACCACCACCACGGCUCCGUCUCCCAGCCAUUAGCACCAAAAGCACCAGUACGAGCAAAAACGCCAUUUUCCUAUAUCAAAAGUUGCAUACAUGAACAAAAUUUUUGAAAAAUCUGUAAAAAUAGCGAAAAAAUUUCUAAAUACAUUAGAAUGCAUACAAAUGCUAUUUCUAGCCAGAUCAUGUAAAAAAUUUCAGCAAAAAUCGAACUUUUUGAAAAAUCCCGAAAUUACAUGCAUAUUAGAGCAUAAAUCUUAGAUCAGCGAAAAAUAACUUGUUUUGAUGUUGUUCAAGUGUUCUACAAGCAAGGUAAUAUCCUAAAACACGGAUCUAUAGCAAAAAAUUGCAUCAAAAACGGAUUAGAACAGAGAUCAAACCCUAAUCCCGCAAAAGCAGUGAAAACAGCAAAAUCGGGAUAAAAUUCACAAAUUUGAUGCUAAAAACUUACAAAUCCACGGAAAAAAUGUGUAGAACGAAUGAAGGAGAGUCUCUGGAGCUCACAGGACCAAAAAUUUUGAAAAACGAUUGAGUUUUGAGAGAGAUCGAAGCGUUAUACCCGGUUAUAUUCCGCUCGGCCGCAGACCUUGUACCGGUACACGGGUUCUUGUUCCGGUAUAAGGAUCAAAAUGUGAAAAAAAAAUUUCAAAAAAUAUACUUUAAAAAUCCAUCACAUUUAAUUUAAAUUCAUAUAGUUAAGGCUUUUACUCCAAAAAUUAUUAUAAUGAAAAUAAGAUAUUAUAAAAUUUCAAAAUACAUCAAAACAUCAAAAAUUCAUUAUCAAAAGUGAUUUAAUAAUUCAAAACCAUCAAGAUGUAAGUUGAUGAAAAAUGAUUUUUAGAAAUUCAAUAAAAUUGACACCAAUUUAUUGCAAUAUGUUCAAAAUAGAGAUUUAACUAAUAUGGCACCGGGGGUGGCUCUUUGAGCAUCUUUUCAACUUACCACCUUAUAACUCCAAAAAUUUUAAAAAUAUUCAUUUUUUUCAACCUUUUCGGCUUUUCAAUUAAUCUCCAUGUGGUAGCUUCACACACUUGCCGGACGACCGAGGUGGUAGCUCUUUCCUACAUGUGGUGGUAGUUUUCACACUCCUUUUAGGAUGUAACUCUUUCCACAUCUUUUAAACAUAGAAGAAUUUUUUUUUUAUUUUCAAACUCCCCCUAAAUUAGACAAUCUCACAAUUGAAAAUAAUUUUGACGAAUUUAGUCAAUUAGAGAAUAUCCAUUCAUCAUAUCCAACACUCACAACCAAGAUGAAUUAAUCACCAAAAAAUCAAAUUUGAUUUCAAAAUUUUGAUGAAUUUAUGCAUUAAGAAAUCAUAUAUUAAUUUAUCGUCAAAAUAAUAAAAAGUGGAGUAAAACCGAUAAUUAAUAUGAAUUUAACUUAAUAUGAUUGUGAAGUUAAACACCGUUUAAAAAAUUUCUCUCUCUCCAAAAUCAUGGAUCUCAAUCAUCUUCUUUCUCAAAGAUUUUGAAUUCCUAAACACCUUUCCUCAAAAUGAUUUAUAAAUAAACAAAAAUUCAAUGCACCAAAAAUCAUUCAAAUAUGUAAUGCAAUGAAUAAAAUUAUGCAAUAAGCACCAAUCAAAGCAUUACACUAAAGAUCAAAAGUGACUAAGACGAGGAGCAAGGAAAGAUAUCACCUUUCCGGAUCCAAACUUGUCGGAUCUUUGGUUUUCUCGGCUUGUCGACGUUAGGUGCCGUUUGUUUAGACUUUUGAUCAACCGUUGGUGGUUUCUUCGGUUGAGGCUUUGGUUGAAUUUGUCGUUGAGGUUUAUGCACCCUGUUUGCAUGAACUUGGCGUUUUGUAUUAAAAAUCCAGUUCUUUUGAGGUACUCGACUAACUUGAUUUCUCUUUUGAUUCCGCGGGGUAAGUCGAGUUGUAGAUGAUGCCGAUUGAGCUUUCGAAGUUGCCGAAUUAUUCUUCUUAUCUUUCACCGGGCAAUUCCUUUUGAUGUGACCUUUAACUCCACAUCGAUGACACACUUUGCCUUUUAAAGUUGUUGAGACUUUAAACGUUGCCGUUUAAUCCUUCUCAACAUAUGUUCUUUCGUAUCCGAGGCCCAAUUUGCUUGUUUGACCCAAUCCGAGAAUUUUGUCCAAUUUCUUAGAUCCCGAAGAAAAUUGUUGAAGAUCGGAUUGGAGUUGACGAACUUGAUUGGUCAGUGACUUGUUGGAUGUGUGUGAUUCCUCGAACUGUUGCUCCAAAAACCCAACUUUGUCUCUAUAUGAUUUGAUCAUUGAUUCCGCUUCAUUAAGCUUCUCGUGGGGGUCCGAAAUAUUCUUCACGCUUGAAUCCCUUUCCUCCUCAAGAGCCUUAUUCAAAAUCUUUACGUUGUUGUUUUCCUCCUCAAGUUCCAACAAACGACGUCUCAACUUCUUGUUGAGUUUAGCCAUCUUCUUUGAUUCAAUGAGAAGUUGAUUGUACGCUUCCGCUACGUCGUCGUCGUUUGAAUUCUCCUCGCUUUCGCCGUUGUCGUUCGAUGAGUCAUGCGAGGAAACAGAAACAUUAGAGUUAGUAGCACUAGAGGAUAAACACACAAAGUUCGAUGGAGUAUUAGCAAAUAAGGCAAUUUGAUCAUUCUUUUCUUCGUCACUUGACGAUGAUUCACUAGAAGAAUCAUCCCAAGUCUUUGCUUGCAUAGCCUUCGAUUUAUAAACUUUCUUUGAAGGACAAUCCGUCGCGAUGUGGCCGUAGCCUUUGCACUUGAAGCAUUGGAUCUCGCUUUCAAAGACAUCCUUUUCUUUUGAAGCCUUUGCACGCUUUUUCUCCUUAGAUGUAGAUUUAGGAAACGUUUGUUGCUUCGAAGAUGAAGGUUUAUUCGAUUUGCUCUUUCGAAAAUUCCGGCAAAACUUUUUCAUGAGAAGCGCAAGUUGAUGUUCAAAGUCGGCAAGAGAAACAUCUCCGUCGGAAUCCGAGUCUCCGUCUUCCUCUUUUGUUGAUUUCAACGCAACCCCUGUGCUUUUAGAAAAAGACUUGGAAGACGAUUGAUUAGUAGGAAAAGUUAUCUCAUACGUUUGUAAAGCACCUACUAAUUCCUCGACUUUCAUCUCGUCCGGAUGUUUGACCGUUUCGAUCACGGCUACUUUAGCCCGAAAGCGUUCCGAAAGAGUUCGAAGAAUUUUACGAACAACUUUAGAAUCUGGGAUUUUCUCUUCCAAAUUAGCACAUGUAUUAAUGAUAUCUUGAAGCCUAGUGUAGUAAUCGGUAAAAGGUUCAUGCUCUUCCAUACGAAUAGAAUCAAAUUGACUAGUCAACAUUUGGUGCUUCUGAAUUUUUACUAAACUAGUACCCUCAUGUGUAAUUUGUAGAGUAUCCCAAAUUUCCUUGGCCGUUUCGCAUGCCGAAACCCGAGUAAACUCCGUUUGCGAUAAAGCGUUGAAUAAAGCAUUAAUUCCUUUACCGUUAAACGAAGACGACUCGUUUUCAUCUUUUGUCCACUUGUUGCGUGGUUUAGGCGUUUCGACAUUCUCGACCUUUUCAAUAGGAUGUUUCCAUCCAAAUUCUAUUGAUUGCAAAACACGCUCAUCGAUUGCAAUUAGAAAAGCUCUCAUGCGAACUUUCCAAUAGGCAUAAUUAAGUGCCUCGAGAGCGAGAGGUCGAUUAAUGUUUCUUUUGUUGCCUUCGCAUUAGAUAAAAUUAUCUAGAUCACCGCUUCUGAUGCAAUUGAAAGUUUUGGGGUGCCCAGGAUUAUCUAGAUUUGUUCUAUCACCUUAGAGGGGGCAGGUGAAUAGGUGUAACGGCAAAAAUCAAAAUUCAUUGCAAUAAAAUAAAUGCGGAAAAUAAAAGCACACCGAGAUUUACGUGGGAAACUCUAACUUGGAGAAAAAACCUACGGGAUCCAACCGCGAAAAAAUAAUUCACUAAGAGAAAAGAUUACAAUGAAUUACGCACUCCACGGACUUAACCUGGUUCUUUAUUUUUUUCUUAACUCAUGAAUCUUCGCGGUUACCUCCGGAGUAUCGUCCACGCCUUCUCGAAUCCACGAACGCUCCACUUCGAAUACCACGAGCUUCAAUCACGCCAAAUCCCACGCACGCCACUCGAAUUCACAGAGCCCACGAUUCCGAAUCCACGCAACCGCCAUCAAUACGCGACAUCACGACGGCACCCAUAUGAAGAAUAUCAUGAAUAUUGUGAUGCUUCGCUUUGGAGUAUCGUAGAAACCACGGGAAUAGAACUCCAAGCGAAGUCGGGAUCAAAUCGACAUAUUAAUAUCAAAAUUUCAAAUAUAUCGAUUUUGAUCUAAAAUAGGCUUUUUGUAGAAAAUGGUCUUUAGAUGAAUCCGAGCCUCUAGGGUUUCUCAAAUAUGUAGUUUUCGUGACUGCUUAUGAUCGUUCAAUCAGUUAGAGAACCCAAUGCUUUUAUACUAGAUUAGAAUCAAAACGGCCAGUAGGAUGAGAAAGUUUCUGUUCAAAAUCAGCACCUCUUGUACCCGGAACAAGAAAAGCUGUCCACGGAUGACAGCAUGACGUAGAAUUUAUCUGCGCAAGCUUCUUAUACCCUGGAUGAGCUGCGAGCUUGUUUGGAACAGGCUAUGUACCGGUACAGGCAUGAUGUUGACCGGAAACAUCAAAUAUUUCUGCGCAACGCUGAUGGCUGUCCCUGGAAGAACCUUGUACCAGUUACACUAAUGCAAUUUUGGCUGGAAAAUGCAUUAUUUAGUUUUACAAUCUAGAAACUUUCUGAUCAAUUACAACUGAAACAUGAUUUCAAACUCUAUAAUUAAGUAGUGAUCACCAUAAACAAGAUUUUAAAGCUUACCCAUAGCAUGUGAUUCAUGUUUUGCCGUCCUUUUGAUUCUUCGAAGUCUUGGAUUCUUCGAAUCUUCAAUAUCCGCUCCGGACUUCAUUCAAGACUCCGACUCGACCCACGAAACUUGCCAACACAUAGGACUUAACACGGUGGUCCGCCCGCACCCUCGACUCCUAUACCUGGAGCGGCAAAGGGUGAGGGCAUAGCGGCGGUUCCGGUGACGGCACGCCCACCGCCAGCGACCGUACCACAGGCGGCAUCGGGAUCAACUACACCCGAUGUGUCGGCCGAGGACGUGGAGGGAGAGCGGGCGUUAGCAGCUCUCAUUAAAUUCAACAAGUUCCAUCCGCCAACCUUCGAGGGCGAGAAGGUGGAACCGGAGAUGGUCGAGUCUUGGAUUGACUUGAUGGAAACCCUCUUCGACGAUCUGCGUACCCUGGAGAGGGAUAAGGUGUACCUCGCCACCCAUUGCUUGGAGAAGGCGGUGAAGGUUUGGUGGAAGCGCGUCAAACGGGAUCGGCUUCCCGGCCUUCCGCCAAUGUUGUGGGAGGAAUUCAAGCGGGAGAUGUUCGCCAACUAUUUCCCCGAUACACUGAAGCGGAAGCUCAAUGAGAAGUUCCGCAAGCUAGAGCAAGGGGACCGCUCCGUGGCGGAGUACGAACAGGAGUUCUCCCACAUCAUAGAUUGCGUCCCGGAUGUUGUCAAGGAUGACCGGGACCGGGCCGAGUGGUUCUUGCGAGGACUUCGGCCGGGAAUCUACAAGGCCGUGCAAAUACUUAAGCUCACGACCUUUGCUGAGGUCUUUGAUCGAGCCCUAUGGGCAGAGCACGGAGAUGCCCACGUGCGGGAGAAGCGUGAGCUUUUGGCGGAGUCCAAGGACAAGGGCAAGAAGCGCCAAGGCGGCGGUAGUAUGGGUGGUCAAACGCGUUAUAAGAAACCCCCGAAGUACCCGCGCACUCAACAGAAGGGCGGUGGAGCGCGGCGAUGUAUUGUAUGCGGCGGAGACCACCCAGUCUCGCGCUGUGAGCAGGGUCGAGGCAAGUGCUACAAAUGUGGGCAGCCGGGACACUUCAUUCGGGAUUGCCCGGGAGGAGGAGCCUCACCAGCCCCAUCGAUUGCAUCGGCACCGGCGGUUCCGGCAUAUUAUGGAGGAGCUCCACCGACGGCCGCGUCGACUGGACGCGCGAUGACGCCGCGUCAACCUGAGAUGGCGCGAUCGGCCCCGAGCGGACGGGUAUUUGCCGCUCAGGUCCAAGCUGAGGAGCCUGCGGAGGCAGAGGAGCAUCGCCUUGUGGCAGGUAUGGUUUUAAUUAACGGAGUUCGCUCCAGGGCUUUAUUUGAUACAGGAGCCACGCAUUCAUUCAUAAGUAGAUCAUUCGCACGCAUGCAUGAUAUUCUCAUAGAAGCAAGUGACAAGUGGCGAGUGGAGGGCCCUGGGUCGACAUUCAAUACCUACACGGAGUGCACCUCGUGUCCGGUACAAAUAGGCGAUUGGAUAAUGCCUAUUCGGGCGCUAGGACUCCAGAAACUUGAGGCGUACGAUGUCAUAUUGGGCAUGGACUGGCUUUCGAAAUACCACGCCACGAUUGACUGUAAGAGCAGGGUGAUCACAUUCCGUGAGCCAGGACAGGAAGAGUUCACCUAUCGAGCUUGCCAGAGCUCGUGUUUCGUCGCGACGGUGUCGGCGACGAGAGCAAGGAAGUUGGUUAACAGCGGUUGCACGGCAUUCUUAGCGACUGUUGUGGAAACAGAACGAAUAGCUCCAACACUAGAGGAGUUAUCGGUGGUGCGGGAGUUCCCGGAUGUAUUUCCUGCGAAGUUGCCGGGAAUACCACCGGAUCGGGAGAUCGAGUUCGUCAUAGACUUGGUUCCCGGUACCGCGCCGAUCUCGAAGGCUCCGUACCGAAUGGCGCCGGCGGAACUAAAGGAGUUGAGGAGUCAACUACAAGAUCUCCUCGACAAGCAAUUUAUCCGGCCGAGUGUAUCACCGUAGGGAGCCCCGGUGUUGUUUGUGCGGAAGAAAGACGGAUCGCUCCGACUCUGCGUGGACUAUCGAGAAUUGAACAUAGUCACGAUCAAGAACAAGUACCCGCUACCCCGAAUCGAUGACCUGUUUGAUCAGUUGCAAGGGUCGUGUGUGUACUUGAAGAUAGACUUGCAAUCCGGCUAUCAUCAGCUAAAGAUCAAGCCGGAGGAUGUGCAAAAGACUACGUUUCGCACGCGGUAUGGACAUUACGAAUUCACGGUCAUGCCAUUUGGACCCACGAAUGCUCCAGCGGCAUUUAUGGAUUUAAUGAACCGUGUCUUCAAGAAGUAUUUGGACCGGUUUGUCGUGGUCUUUAUAACGACAUAUUGGUCUAUUCUCGUAGUGACGAGGAACAUGCCGAGCAUUUGAGAAUAGUGCUUCAAGUCCUUCGGGAGGAGAAGCUAUAUGCUAAGCUGAAGAAGUGUGACUUCUGGCUUCGCGAGGUUGCCUUCUUAGGGCAUGUGAUUUCCGCGGGUGGAGUUUCUGUAGACCCGAGGAAAGUUGAGGCAAUCAAGGAUUGGCCGCGCCCGACGAAUGUCACGGAGGUUCGAAGCUUCGUGGGCUUGGCGUGCUAUUAUAGGCGGUUUGUGGAAGGCUUUUCCAAGAUAGUGAUUCCAUUUACCCACCUGAUCCAGAAGGGCACCAAGUUUGUUUGGAGCGAGGAGUGCGACCGAAGUUUCAAAGAGUUGAAGCAAAGAUUGACUUUGACUCCGGUACUCGCUCUACCGGUGCAGGGUGAAGACUUCGUGGUCUACAGUGAUGCCUUCUAUCUUGGAUUGGGUGUGUAUUGAUGCAAAACGGAAAAGUGAUCGCUUAUGCAUCCCGUCAGCUGAAGAGCUAUGAAAAGAACUACCCCAGCCAUGAUUUGGAGCUAGCGGCGGUGAUUUUCACCUUAAAGUUGUGGAGGCACUACUUAUAUGGUGCCCAUUGUGAGAUCUAUACCGACCACAAGAGCUUGAAGUACCUGUUUACACAGAAGGAGCUCAAUAUGCGUCAGCGGCGGUGGUUGGAGUUGUUAAAGGAUUAUGAUGUUGAUAUCCUCUACCACCCCGGGAAGGCAAAUGUGGUCGCGGAUGCGCUGAGUAGGAAGUCGGCGAAGAAUCUCGCUUUUGAUGUUAUCCAGCAAACACCCCUAUGGCGGGAUAUGAAACGACUGGAUCUCGAAGUGGUUCCUCCCGAGAUUCCAACCCAGUUGAUGGCACUCGUUGUCCAACCGACCUUGUUGGAGAGGAUCAAAGAUCUGUAACCUGCGGACCUAGAACUCCAGAAAGUGCGGCGAAACAUCGAGGAUGGUCGAGGCGGCGAUUUCAGUAUAAACGCCGAUGGUGCACUUCGGUUUAGAAACCGAUGGUGCAUGCUGAAAGAUGGAGAGCUUCGCGAAUUGAUUCUACAAGAAGCACACAGAUCUCCGUAUGCUGAUCUGUUUUUGGAUUGCGUGCCUUUUUGGCUACUGUUUUUGGAUUGCGUGCGUUGUUCCGGCGAAUCGAGGCUGUCCUGAUGCCUCCGGAGGUAAGCAUGGUGAUUGUUGGUCAGUACCGAUCACAAUGCUCACCUUGCUUUGGAUCAACGGAUGUCAUAUAGUCCUGUUUGGCACAGUUUUUCCCGACUACGCGCUAUUUCGCUGAUUUUUGCGUCGCUCGUGCGCGUGGCACAGUGGCCGGCAGUGCUCCGAAAGGUGAGCACGGCCUCCAGGACACCGAGACCUGUCAGCGGGUGCCUCGGCUUGGCGGAUUGACAUCUGGUUUGUGUAGACGGACCAUAAAAGCGCCGAAAUCACAUAAAAUAAUAUGAUUUCGGGUAUUCGGGUGGGCUUUUAUGCAUCUUGGUUCGUCGUAGCUGCUGUUGUAGCAAGUGUAGGCUGAGGAUAACCUCUGGACUGAUCGUCCAAGGCCCAAGCCUUUGCGAAAAUCGAAAAGUGAUUUUCGGCGCGUUUCUCGGCGAAAUACGCCGACGGAACGCGGGUUCGAAUCGGAAUUCUUCCGACGGUGCUUCGUGAGCUAUUGUGUAGUCGCUGAGCCUUCUUGGCUGGUCUCUCAUGUCAUUUCAAGAGUUCAGAAAUGACGGGUGAGCGACGGUGAGUUCCGGAGUCGAAAUUGACACUUUCGGAACCCCGGAUAGGAAUGAUUAUCCGACGAUAAUUGUUUCGACGUUAGGAGUUGUGUUUGCUGCCAUGAUGCACGAUUAUUUAUGUUUUGUGGCAGCGAGUGAGUCAUAGCACGAGUCGAUGUGUUACGGGAUAGUUCGUGGGUCCCGACGGAGUCCCGGUGCGAUUUCGGGACUUCCGGCGAGUUACGGUAGUCGGUUUUGGGAAACCGACCUCUGUGGGAUUAUUGGUGGGAAUUGUGAUUUAUUUUUGUUAGUUGUGGGUUAUAUAUUAACCCGGUUGACACUCCGUAGGUCCGGUUGACAUUCUUUCGCAGUCAGGAGACAGGCGCGACAUCCUUGCAGGUGGGUAUUUCGAUCCGAAGUCGGUACAGUGGUGCACGCUCGGUGAUAUCCUUCUAUCCCUGUUCUCCUGUUAUUACUAUUGUGUAGUAUAGCUUAUUGAGCCUUGCACCCCUAUUGUUUACAUCUUACUCUACUCGUUGUUUGUAUGAUUAGUAUCCUGAGUAGAAGUAGAGUAGUUAUACCAUGUUUCCUUGUUGCUCUACUUAGCUAUUCUGCAUAUCCUGUUUCAUAUUUAGAGUGGAGCGGUUUCGUGAUUUCUUGUGAGAUUGGUGACCUAGUCGGUCGAUACUUGACUUCUGUCGUUUGAUGACCUUUGCGGUCGGUGUACCCUGAGGGGUAGGAUUGCCGGCUAAUGGCUGACGGUAAUUCUAGAUUAUACACUCAGAUGACUUGUUGAUCGAUUCUUGCAUAUAUACAGUAGUUGACUUAUUGAUAAGUAUUUACAUACUUUUGGCAGGAUGUUGAGUUGUUCCAUCCUAGUUGAUCUGAGUUGUCGGUUCUUGUACUUCCUUACAGUGGAUGACCUUUUGGUCGGUUAGUCCCGAGGGGCGGUGAUUGUCGGCUGGUUGCCGACGGUUAGCCUUUGAGCAUAUCAGCAUUGAUUGCCCGACUCGUUCGUAUUUCACGAACACCAGCUGUCUGAUCCACCGCGGCUGGGUGUUCUUUUCCGGAAAAGUGGUUGCAGGUGCCAACCCGUGAGCCCAGCGGUCAGGACUGGGUUAUAUGCAGGUAGAGUGGUAGUGGGCUUUUGCCUGAGGUCCUUAGACCGACACGGCGGUUUAGAUUGGGUAUUUUUUGACUUCUUGUCCGGUUGACGCAUAUAGCUAUAGUAGCGGUUGUUGCUUGUAUACCUUCAGUUCUUUCGUUACAUUGUCUUGCUACUAUAGUUUUGUUGUAUGUAUACAUUCAGUUGUUCAUUACAGUAGCGGUAGUUGUACUUUCAUUUAUAUAUGUCUCUUUCGUUCAUUAUUAUUGCUACUGUAUUUUCAUUGACCCGUACUGUUGUUUAGCUCUUCCUGAUUCGGUGAGUACUCCUCGCCUUCUUCGGCUUGCGGUACCCACUGGGAGGGGAGACAUGUUUACAUGUUCUCACCUCGCCAACUAUUUUUCAGGUAUCGCGGGCAGUGAGGGAUGAGACGAGACGUGAGAUACGUACGUAGCGGUCGAUAGAACUUCCGACCCAGGUUAUUCGGUUUAGUUUCUACCCUUACUAUUCUGUUGAUAUAGUUUAGAUAGUUUAUAUGGUUCAGUAUUUUUAUUAUAUUUGAAAAUGUGGGUUUUCAUGAAUGUAAUAAAUGGAUUUGUGGAUUUUGUGAAAUGGAAAGAUUUUCUACCCCUCGUGGUAGCGUAUUUUAAAAGAAAAGAAUUUUCUUAUGAAAAACGGAUUUCAAACAGCUUUCUUGUGGUUUUUGUAACUUAGUAUUUCAAAGCCCGUCUCUGAGUUGGAAACAUUUUAACUAAUAGUUGCGAUUUUAUGUUCAAAUCAUGAAUGUGAACCUGUGCUGAAUAGUGUAUGGAUAUAUAUAGAUGUUGGAUGUCUGUAUGUUCAGUGUAGCGGUUGUAUCCUGGUUAUACUCUUGUACUUGUGCGACGCCGUGCAAAUACAGGGGAGACUCUGUCCGUGUGAACAGUGGAUUCCCUAUAUUUGUGGCGGAUCUGGCAUACCCUGAGGUCAGGUUUUCAAAAUAUAUAAAAAAAAAAAAAAAUUUCGCUGUAUUUUAACCAAAAAGGGACCCCGGGGCGUGACAUAAGGUAUAAUAAAAAAAUCUAUUAAUAUGGGUAUUAUAGUAAACUUAUUGCUUUGCCUUACUAAUUCUCCUUUUCGACCGAGUACAAAUAAUUGUAUAAUCCCUAGUAUUUUAAUGUGCGAACCAAAUAAAAAUACUCCUACAACAUUGAAAUCUAAUUCUAGGAUAAUAAAUUUUGAAAAUUUAAUUCUUUGCAAAAAUUUUAAAUAUUAUGAACCAAACAGUCCCUAAAAUGUUUACUUGUAAAAGUAUUGUGCAAAAGUUGCUAUGAAAUUAAAUGAUUUGUAUAGAAUUUUUAAAGAAGAUAUUUAGGAGGUUUAGUUAUUAUUUAUCUUUUUGGAAAACAAGGACAAAUUCUUAGUUGCAAUAGAGUUAAGAUAAAUUAUUCCAACCCUAGUUAUCUUACAAAUGGCUUUAGUGGGGAAUUCCUCUGUUGUCUUACUUUGGUCUUCUGUUUAUCAUCAAGCACCAAUUUUCUAACUAAUAUGUAUCAUCAACCACCAAUUUCUUUCAAAACCCUUUUAUUAAUUUUUGAGUCAUCAACCACCAAUUUCUUUCAAAACCCUUUUAUUAAUUUAACUAAUAUGUAUCAUCAACCACCAAUUUCUUUCAAAAUCCUUUUAUUAAUUUUUUUUUGCCUACUCCUACAUUUUCUUUCUCCUCUGAUUGUGUACUUUGCUUCAGCUUUGCUUAUUGUCGGCUGCCAUUUUGUUACUCCUCUUCUAUGUUUUCGAUAUAUAUAAUCUGCCAUUUUAAAUAGGGUAUACCCAUGUUUAAUCAAAAUUUUUUUUUUGAGUCAUGCUCUAACUAAUAUGAUAAUUUAUAACUAGAAUACUUUCUCAAGUAAACGAGACUACUUUCAGCUACAUUAUUUCAACGGUAAAUAUCUAAAUUGGUGAUUGACACAAUUAAACAAAAUCUAAACCAUUCAAACUUUCUAAAAUCAAUUUUGGUGACUUCAUGAUAAGUGGUUUUAAAUUCACUUUAAACAUAAUAAUCCAACCCAAAAACUGAGAUUAACUUGGACAGUAAAAAUCUUGUAAUGAACCCAAUGAAAUCACACGAUCUACCACAGAUUAAACUACUAGUAAUAAUGUUAUAGAAAUCCAAUCCACAAAUUCGGCAAAAUUAGUAUGUGGCACAAACAACUUAAUGUGUUAGUUGUAACUAUUAUACUGCCACUUAAUCGAUCAGAAAAUAAGGAGUAUAUAUGAACCUAGCUCUAAAAAUAAAAAUAUCCUCCACAUCAAAAAUUCUAUUUUAUUCUGAACAAAACCAAACAACAUUUAUCUUGUUGGUUUUUACUUUUAUAAGGCCCCAAACUUAGUGCAGCAAAAAAUACAAAUAAAAUACAACAGCAGAUUCCACUACUGAGGCAGAAUACAUUACAGCAUCUAAGGCAUCAAAGGAGGCAGUUUGGCUUCGAAAGUUUGUCACGGAACUAGGAGUGGUGCCUUCUAUUGAGGAGCCAAUGCCACUUUACUGUUACACUAAUGAAGGUAUAGCACAAGGUAAAGAAUCGAGAUCUCAUCAGAAGUUCAGACAUAUAGAUCGACGCGACCACAUCAUCCGAUAAUUUGUUGGUGAACGUCAGACUGUUGUGCAGAAUGUAGCAUCCGUGGACAAUAUUGCGGAUCCCCUUACUAAGCCGCUCACACUUCAAAAGCUGGAUGUGCAUUUAGAAAGAAUGGGUAUGAGAUACAUGAGCGAUUGAUAUUAGUGUUAGUGGGAGAUUAUUAGUGGUAUACUCUAAAGCCAAUCGAUGACAUAGGCUUAUGGACAUAUUUUGUAGUUUUCUGUAUUUUAGAAAGGGCAAGUUUUAUUCAUGUUUAUUGUUAACAGUGCAAUAUAUUUACAUAAAUCGUCUGUUAAAUCUUUAUUAAGAAAAUAUAUUUCUAAGAGUUAAAAAUUUGAAGUAUAUAUUUUUUUAUACAAGAUUCUUAAACGCUAGCUUCUAGCCAUAGGAAUAUCAUAAGGGCGAUGGUAUUUUCGGAUAGGCCGCUGUAUACUAUACUUUUAAGUUGAGGUGACGGAUCUCAAGUCAUUAGUGUAGGGACACUAAAGUAAGUAUGCAAGUCCUUGCUAGUGAACAAGUACACUGAGUGUGACCAUUUAGUUAAAUAGUCACAUGAUUGCAUAUUCGCAAGUGACUAGUUCUUUGCUACAGUGGUGUGACGUACUCCUCGAACCUGAGGCAUCAUGGUUGCUUCACAUAUAGAUUGCUACCGUUUGACUGUACUAAUACUUAGACUCUAAUCAUUGAUCUACAUCUGGUACUGAUUGGUUGUACUUAGGGGUGGAAACGAGCCGAGCUCGAGCGAGCUUAUGUCAGCUCAAAUUCGGCUUGAAAUUAAUUUCGAGCCUAAAUCUAGGCUCAAGCUCUGCUUGAAAUUAAUUCGAGCCGAGCUCAAGCGAGCCUAAUUUCGAGUCGAGCCGAGCUCGAGCUCUAAACGAGCCGAUUGAAAUUGUCAACAUUAUAUAAUCAAUAGUUUAAUUUUUAUAAAACAUUACCUAUAAUUUGAUGCAACAUGUUCAAUAGUUCAAAAUACAAAAUAAUUGUAAGAAAUGUGAGCUAGGGUGACUGCCUGACUAGGUGAGGGUCAGAGAGAGAGAGAGAGAGAGGGAAAAAAAUUGGGGAUUUGGGAAUUUGAAUGUUAUCAUAUUUUAGGGUUAUGUACAAUAGUAAAAGUCUGAAAGAGAGAGUGUGUUAUGUAAAUUUAGAGUUGGGCUCAAUUGCACGGUUGUACUUGUUGGGUUUAUUUUAUGGGCCAACAAUAAUGGCCCAAAUUAAAUUAAAGCCUAUAUAUAAUUAAAAUACAUAUUAUAUAUAUAUAUAUAUAGAGUCCGGCUACUAUACUUUUAUGAGUAUUGGCUCCUUUAUACUCAUAAGUUUUCGACCCUUAGAUUUAUUCCAUUAAUCAUUUUCAUCCGUUAGAUCAUACUAUUUAACCAACUACCCACUCAACCCUAGGGGACCACUAUCAUUCUAAGUGGGGACCACCAUCAUCCUAACCACACAUCCCAUCAAUCAACGGUUAAAAAUUUAUGAGUACAAGGGGGUCUAUACUCAUAAGAGUAUAGUAACCCCAGCAUAUAUAUAUAUAUAUAUAUAUAUUUUCGAGCUUUCGAGCUUUUCAAGCCUAAUUCGAACGAGCCGAGUAAUACUCAAGCUCGGCUUGAAAUGAAUUUCGAGCCUUUUAUUUUGUUCAAGCUCGGCUCAUUUAAUUUCGAGUCGAGCUCGAGCGAGCCGAAUAUCGAGCCGAACAUGAGUCGAACGCGAGCCGGCUCGCUCGUUUGCCAGCCCUAGUUGUACUACUUUAUAUGGGAAAGCAUGUGAGUGCGCAAUAAAAUAUUAAACACUCUCAAUAUUGAGAGAUAACGUCCUAUAUAAACUAUCAGACUCGACUCGAAAAAUCCUUAGCCAGGGUACGUAAUGUGUGGAAGAGUUUCCAGCUAUGUUACCAUAUUGAGUCAAUUUUAGAUAUUCUAGUCAUAUGAUUGAAUAAUAAGAUUUGACGAGUAAUCAUAACUCUGGUUCGAUCGGGGCGUUGUGUAUUGGAAGGAAUUAAUCACACGGUAAUUGUUAGCAGAAAUGUUCAUUAUUAAUCAUCAUUCUGGAUUGCCGUAAUAUACUGUUAGGUAUCACUCACGGACAGUAAGAGAAGUAAAAAUAAUUUAAAAUAAAAUAUUUCAUAAAUUAAAAAAGUUUUAAUUCAAUAUUGAAAAGUUUGAUAUUGAACUACAGAUGAGUCUAAUACACUAAACAGUUUAGUAAAAAUAAUAAAAAAUUAUAUUUUGAAUUUAAAUAUUACGAAAGAUUUAAUCUCUAAUUAUAUUAAAGAAUAAUUAAAUAUUCAUAGAUUAUUAUGAGAUAAUAUUCUAAUUAGAUUAGAUUUAAAUAUGAAUAUUUAAUUAUAAUUUAAUAGAUAAGAUCUGAUUAUAUUGAAUUUAUCAAAUAGAGAGAUAUGGAUAAAAUACCCAAAAGGAUAAAUGUAAAUUUACUUUUCUUAUCCUAUAUGUAGAGGUGUAAAACGGGCCGGGCGGCACGUGGGCCGCCCGGCCCGGCACGGCUACGGGCCGGGCCGUGGCCCGGCACGGCCACUGUAGCACCCGGGCCGGGCCGGGCCCGGCAGGCACUUCGGGCCGUGCUGGGCCUCACAUUUGGAGCCCAACGGCCCGGCACGGCACGGCCCGAAACGGGCCUGGGCCGUGCCGGGCCGAGGAGAGGCCCGUGGCCCGGCACGGCACGGCCCGCUUGGGCCGUGCCAGCCGGGCCAGCACGGCCCGGAACCCAGGCCCAAGGCAAAGUUGCCUUGGGCCUGGGGUUUGCUCUCCUCGGGUGGAGGGCUUGGCCCUCCUCCCAAGGAGAGCUCCUCCCAAGGUCUGCCUGCAGACCUUGGGAGGAGUGAUUUUGGUCCAAUGGACCAAAGCAAUUUUGGUCCAUUGGACCAAAAACCCUUCUCAACUUUUUUUUUUUUCAAAAAAAAGAAUACAAAAAUAUAUUAAAUAAAUUUAAAUAUUUAUUUUUUUGUUAAUUUAUUUAUAAAUUUUAAAUUUUUUUAAUCAAAAUAUCAGUUUAUUAAAUAAUUUAUUGUUAUAUUUUUUUAAAUUAUAUGUACUUUUUUAAAAAUAAAAAAAAGACCGGCCCGGAGCCGGCACCGGCCGGCGCACGGCCCGUGACUUCCGGGUAGGCGGCCUGCUGGCGCAAUGGAGUGGAGUUCGGGCCGGCACGGCCGGCCGAUUUAGCACGGGCGGGCCGAGGCACUGUUCCCAGCCGGUUAUCGCCGGAAAUAUGGGCCGUGCCAGCCGGCCGGCCCACAUUACACCCCUACCUAUUAUGGCAUACUCAUCUUAUGAUAUAUUAUGAAUGAAAUCCUCAGUUUUUGAACAGGUGGCUGAGCGCGGAGGCGCGGCAGGGGCAGAGCGCGGGCGCGGGCAAGCGGCGCGGCCUGACGGGGCGCGUAGUGGCGCCACGGAGCGCGCCGUGGCGCGGGCAGGCGGGCACGCGGGGCGGGCGCCGCGUGCGCGGGCGGUCCGGGCGUGGCAGCGCUCAGAUUUCUCGCGUGAGCGCGUGGCGGAAGGGCGCCGCGUGGGCGGAAGCUCGAGGGGGCAGGCAGGCGGUAUAGCGCGAGGGGGCGGGGCGCGCGUGGCGGCGGGCGAGCCCGGCGGGCGGUGAACGAAUCAAUUGGCGAGCGGUGCGCGGGGAGAGGAGAUGGAAGGCGGGCGAGCGUUGGGGAGCGGGCUGCCGCGCGUGGCCGCGGCCUCUUGCGCGCGGGCGCUUGCAGGGCAAGGCGGACGUAUCUUCUUCUCUCUUGCAGAGCGCCGCGGGGCGGGUCUGACCGCGUGGCGCGGGGAAAAGAGAGGAGCGGGAGCAGGAGAGCGAUGGGAGAGGGAGAGGACGGAAGAGGGCUGGCCCGCCCGUGCGCAGGCGGCACCAGCAGGGAGAGCGAGAGGAGCCCGCAGAGGAGAGCAGCAUUUAUUUUUUUGGCUCUUUUGUCUCAGCGCGNNNNNNNNNNNNNNNNNNNNNNNNNACCUGAGGCCAUCAUUGGUUGUUCACUAUUAGAUACUACCGUUUGAUGUAAUCAAUACUUAGAUCUUAAUCAUUGAUCUUACAUCUGGUACUGAUUGGUUGUACUUAGGGGUGAACGAGCGAGCUCGAGCGAGCUUAUGUCAGCUCAAAUUCGGCUUGAAAUUAAUUUCGAGCCUAAAUCUUAGGCUCAAGCUCUGCUUGAAAUUAAUUCGAGCGAGUCAAGCGACCUAAUUUCGAGUCGAGCCGAGCUCGAGCUCUAACGAGCGAUUGAAUUGUAACAUAUAUAAUUCAAUAGUUUAAUUUUUAUAAAACAUUACUAUAAUUUGAUGCAACAUGUUCAAUAGUUCAAAAAUACAAAAAUUUAAUUGUAAGAAAAUGUGAGCUAGGGUGACUGCCUGACUAGGUGAGGGUCAAGAGAGAGAGAGAGAGAGGGAAAAAAAAAUUGGGGAUUUGGGAAUUGAAUGUUAUCAUAUUUUAGGGUUAUGUACAAUAGUAAAUCUGAAAGAGAGAGUGUGUUAUGUAAUUAGAGUUGCUGCUCAAUUGCAACGAUUGUACUUGUUGGGUUUAUUUAAUGGGCCCAACAAUAAUGCCCAAAUUAAAUUAAAGCUAUAUAUAAUUAAAUAUUUAUUAUAUAUAAUAUAUAGUAUAUAUAUAUAUUAUAUAUAUAUAUAUAUAUUAUAUAUAUAUAUAUAUAUAUAUAUAUAUAUAGUUGAGCUGGAAUACUAUGGUAGCAAACGGGCUCCGUUGCACCUACACCUGUUUUCGGAUGAUGGAGCCUCCAAAUCGACGAUCGGUACCGUUGAAAUGAUCUAUACACAUUAAAGUAUCUAGAAAUCAAUUUCAUGUUUUUUCGAUAUUUUUAUUCUCUCGUUCAUCAAGUGGGCGUAAAAUGACGGCUGAAAAUGAAUAUUCCUCUAAAAGAUGAUGAUAGGAAUUUUGUAAUCAAGAUCGAGAGUGUAGAUCUUGUUCUAAAUGUUUUAAGAAUUUUCUAACCAAAAUUCAAUGAUUUGAUAGUUUACACGUUAAACGAGAAAACACCUCAAUCGACCAUUAAAAUUAAAAUUUUGAAACCCUUUGAAUUAUUAGGUCAAUGAUAUCGAAAAUAUUUGAAAUUUAAUUCUAGAUUUUAAGUGAUAUAUGAUCAUGUUCAACGCGUCGCCGAUCGUCGAUUUGAGGUCCAUCAUCGAAAAUAAAUAGGUGCAACGAGCCCGUUGUACUGAUAGCAUUUCAGCUCAGUAUAUAUAUAUAAUAUAUAUAUAAUAUAUUAUAUAUAUAUAUAUAUAUAUAUAUAUAUAUAUAUAUAUAUAUAUAUAUAUAUAUUAUUUUUCGAGCUUUCGAGCUUUCAAGCCUAAUUCGAACGAGCCGAGUAAUACUCAAGUCGGCUGAAAUGAAUUUCGAGCUUUAUUUUUGUUUCAAGCUCGGCUCAUUUAAUUUCGAGUCGAGCUCGAGCGAGCCGAAUAUCGAGCCGAACACAUGAGUCGAACGCGGAGCCGGCUCGCUCGUUUUGCCAGCCCUAGUUGUUACUAUUUAUAUGGGAAAGCAUGUGAGUGCGCAAUAAAAUAUUAAACACUCUCAAUAUUGAGAGAUAACGUCCCUAUAUAAACUAUCAGACUUCGACUCGAAAAAUCCUUAGCAGAGGUAGUAAUGUGUGUGGAAGAGUUUCAGCUAUGUUACCAUAAUUGAGUCAAUUUUAGAUAUUCUAGUCAGUAUGAUUGAUAUAUAAGAUUUGACGAGUAAUCAUAACUCUGGUUCGAUCGGGGCGUUGUAUUGGAAGGAAUUAAUCACACGGUAAUGUUAGCAGAAAUGUUCAUUAUUAAUCAUCAUUCUGGAUUGCCGUAAUUACUGCUUAGGUAUCACUCACGGACAGUAAGAGAAAUAAAAAUAAUUUAAAAUAAAAUAUUCAUAAAUUAAAAAAGUUUUAAUUCAAUAUGAAAAGUUUGAUAUUGAACUACAGAUGAGUCUAAUACACUAAACAGUUAGUUAAAAAUAAUAAAUUAUAUUUGAAAUUUAAAUAUUACGAAAGAUUUAAUCUUAAUUAUAUUAAAGAAUAAUUAAAUAUUCAUAGAUUAUUAUUCGAUAAUAUUCUAAUUAGAUUUAGAUUUAAAUAUGAAUAUUUAAUUAUAAUUUAAUAGAUAAGAUCUGAUUAUAUUGAAUUUAUCAAAUAGAGAGAUAUGGAUAAAAUACCCAAAAGGAUAAAUGUAAAUUUACUUUUCUUAUCCUAUAUGUAGAGUGUAAAACGGGGCGGCACGUGGGCGCCGGCCGGCACGGCUACGCGGCCGGGCCGUGCCCGGCACGGCCACUGGUAGCACGGGCCGGGCCGGGCCCGGCAGGCACUUCGGGCCUGCUGCGGCCUCACAUUUGGAGCCCAACGGCCCGGCACGGCACGGCCCGAAACGGCCUGGGCGUGCCGGCGAGGAAGAGGCCGUGGCCGACGGCACGCGGCCCGCUUGGGCCGUUCAGCCGGCCAGCACGGCCCCGGAACCAGGCCCAGGCAAAGUUGCCUUGGCCUGGGGUUUGCUCUCCUCGGGUGGAGGGCUUGGCGCUCCUCGCAAGGAGAGUCCUCAAGGUCUGCCUGCAGACCUUGGGAGGAGUGAUUUUGGUCCAAUGGACCAAAGCAAUUUUGGUCCAUUGCGACAAAAACCCUUCUCACUUUUUUUUUUUCAAAAAAAAGAAUACAAAAUAUAUAUUAAAUAAAUUUAAAUAUUUAUUUUUUUGUAAUUAUUUUUUAAAUUUUAAAUUUUUUAAUCCAAAUAUCAGUUUAUAUAAAUAUAAUUAUUGUUUAUAUUUUUUUAAAUAUAUGUACAUUUUUUAAAAAAUAAAAAAAAGGGCGGCCGGAGCGACGGCCCGGCCCGGCGACGGCCGUGCCUUCCGGGCCUAGGGGCCAGUGCGAGGGGCGUGUGGUAGGCGAGUUCGGGCCGGACGGCGGGCGGAUUUAGCCCAGCGGGCGGCCGUGGCACUGUCCAGCCGCGGUUUCGGCCGGGAAAUAUGGCCGUGGCAGCCCGCCGGCCACUUACACCCCUACUAUAUGGACACUCAUUCUAUCUAGUAUAUAUGAAUCCUAGUUUGAAACCGUGCGAGCGACGGGCGCGGGCGCGGCGGCUCGAUCGCGGACGCGGGCAAGGCGGCGCCCUGAACCGGGCGCCGUGUGGCGCUGGCUGCGCGCGGGCGGCGGGCAGGCGGCACAGCGGGGAGUGGGCGCGCGUGGAGCGGCGCCGGGUGGGCCGUGGCGGCAGGGCGCGCGUGUGCGGUGUGCGCCGCGUGGGCGGGCUUCAAGGAGGGGGCAGGCAGUGCUGGCGCGGGGGGCGGGGCGCCGCGUGUGCGCGGGCGAGCGGCGGCGCGGGCGAGCUGGCGCGGGGAGAGGAGAGGGAGAGGCGGCGAGCGUGGAGGGGGCCGCGUGGCGGCAUAUCGGCGCGCGGGGCUUGGGCAAGGCCGGACACAGCGGCGGCGGGGGGGUGCGCGUGGCGGGGAGAGGAGCGGGAGAGGAGAGGCGGAGGGAGAGGAGAGGAGCGGAGAAGGUGGGGCCAGGCGCCCAGCCGAGGGAGAGGAGAGGAGAGAGGGAGGGAUUUUUAUUUUUUUUUGGCUUUUUUCUUCUCUUUAAUUUUUUCCCUUUAAUUUUUUUUAUAUAUUUAUUCUCUUAAUAUAUAAUUAAAAAUUUAUAAUUUUUGUAAUUCAAUCUAAAUUUUAUUUAUUUUUAUAAAAUUUAAAAUAUAUAAAUAUUUUUUAAAUAAGUUAAAUUAUUUGUAUU